RNAcentral lists this long non-coding RNA (48629 nucleotides) under Setaria italica (foxtail millet). Its description in RNAcentral is "long non-coding RNA (SITA_LNC005201)". The record is from RNAcentral. Lineage: Eukaryota; Viridiplantae; Streptophyta; Magnoliopsida; Poales; Poaceae.
GUUGUUAGACUAGACAAUGCAACAAUGGAGGGUGGCAUCUCCUCAAGGUUGGAGCAUUUGACAAGCAGGAGCUCUUUUAGAUUAGGCAUGUUAUGGAAGAAGUCGCCUUGGAAGUUGCUUAUAUUUGAAUAGGAGAGAUCGAAGUAGUAGAGCGAGCUGAGCUUUUUGUUGUUGUUGUUUUCACGGAGAGUAAUUUCUGUAUCUGGGAAGCUGAAUGGACUUCUGAGGUUAUAGCAGCCCCUAAGAGAAAGCAAUUGGAGUUUUUGGAGACAACAGAUUGAAGGAGGAAGUGAUUCUAGAGGAGUGUAGGAAAGAUCCAGAACAUGAAGGCAAGAAAGCUUGGCCAAGAAAUGAUUAGAUUGAAGCUUCAAGAACAACCUCGACUGCUGGGGGCAAUGCCUUAUAAUGAGUGUUGUUGGGCCGUUGGCUCCCUGCCUUAACCAUUCUCUGCUUACAUGCCAUCCUUGAUCACCCAGAUGUGAGAUCCACCGCAUGCGCUCCAGUCCAGGAUGAUUUCCCUCACAAAGAAAAACUUCUUCUGUUGUGUGGCACUCUGCAACGAGAUUAUAACAAGCUAGGAAGUGUGCAACAGAUUUUGUGGCUUCAACAACUUUAGUUGCAGGUGAAAAGGGAAGCUGCACCAACGAGUACUCUCGAAAAGCUUCAAGGAUGACAUUUCCCACUUGGUAUAUAUUAUUGUAUUUGUCUUGGCAGUCAGCUGCUGUCACUUCCUUUGUUCUUUCUAGCACCCCAGUAAUGAGGCCUUGUAUGGCCCAUUGACGUAUCAGCUCAUCUGAAGUAAUAUCAGCUAGUGCGUCACAACUCUGCUGAUCUCCAUCUCUAUGGGCAUAUGAACAGUGUGGAAUGAGCAGCAUGAGGAUGUAGUGAAAGCACCGGACGGCCACGUGGUGCCAAUAUUGUUCAUCUUUGUGGCCGGUCACGCCGAAGAUGUACUUGGCUGUUUGAUGCAAUGAGUAGAUAGUAAGCAUCAAUAUGUCAUCCCCACUGAAAGAAUCAACGACACAAUCAUAAUCCGGCUUGCUACUGUCAUAGACAUCUUUGGAGGUGCCGGAUACAAUCCAGAAAGAGCCUUCCCACUGAGGAGGAGGAAGGCAUGAUAAGUCUUCCGUGAAAGCACUAAGAUUGAUGGGCUUAAUGGGCUCAUUGAGGUUGUUAAUCACCAGCAGGUACUUCUUCUCCAGCAGCUUUUUCACUAUUUGAUAAACCGUUGAUUUUACAUUUUUUUGCAAGGAGUCCGUUGCAUCCUGGUAGCCAUAGGUAUAGUACCACAGCUCAUCGCCCUCUGCUUUUAGCAUGUCGUAUUCUUGGUUGAGUAGCCCAAGCUGCUCCGCCACUUUGAUGGCCAGCUUGUCAUUAAUACUGAGCCUCGUUCCAAGCACUAACGCCUGCUUCAUGUCCACCUCUAUCACGUGGUCAAAGGGACCACGUUUCUUGAUCUUGACCUCCCGAGUGAUGCUUGAUAUAGCUCGUGUGAAACAUGCUGCGGGUCCCACCCCAACAUUCCACUGCACGAAUAUAUACCUGUCGAGUUUUUCUUCCAAGUCACGAUAUGCAGGGCUCUUGAGAAAUCCUUUCAACCUGGCAGCACAAAUAAAAAAGGCUCCGUUACAUGCUUUUUGAACAACUUGUGCUCAAUGUUGAGUAAUUUGUUAAUCAUAUUCUCUUUUAUGCCUGCCCAUUUAUUUUAUUUUUAUUCUCACGUUUGACGCUACUGAAAACAGCAAACAUGAAGCUUAAUGCCGAUACUGUACAUCCUUGUCCGUUGACAUAUAAAAUCACUUUUUUAUGCAUGUUUUAUCAACAAACUUAUUUGAUAAUGAUAACAAUAAUAAGUAUAAGAAUUCGGGUGCAUAUCUGAGUGAAAAUGCUGUCAUUAACACCGGGUAUGGGAAAGACAAGCAAAAUAAUUCUUUCUUUUCUUCAAAAUAAUUCUUUCUUUUCUUCACGAUAUAACUGUUAAUUGAAUAAAUAAAGCUUGCCAUGUGGCUUUCUUUAAAAAAACAUAAGUAGAAAUGUGGCCUGCAUAAAUUUUUGUGUUGUUGUUCUGAUGACCAAAAAUAUAUGUUUAAAUAUUCUUUUAGGCAAUAUAAAUCUUUAUGUUUUAGCAAAACAGGAACAAUUAACUGGCACUUAUAACACUUUAUGAAGCCAUUGAACAUAUUAGGUGACCUAGAGAAAUGGAUUAAGAAAACAAAGCAUAUGCAUCCGAGAGAAAAAGGAGGAACAAAAUUAGGAGAUUCGAGAAAGAUGAUCAUGGCGUGGUGGCGGAGGCGGUGGGGCUUAUAACUCUAUUGCUGACUUGUUUGAAUCAAGUGCACGUCAUAUGACUAGCUCCCUCAUCAAGUUCAUCCCAUUGUUUCACCUAAGUUGAUGUAUGAGUUCCUAUUGAGGGAGUAUAGUGAUGAUGAGAUUAAAAAGCCUUGAAUUGCAUGGGCGGUCUCAAAGCACCAGGGGUUGAUGGUAUGCCAGCUUUAUUUUUUUAAAAAAUAUUGGGAUAUUGUUGGCAAAGAUGUGUGGUGCAGGAGGUGAGGAAGCUACCGUUGGAAGGUGAAAUGCCCAAAUGAUGGAAUGUCAUUUCACUAGAUAUGAUUGCCUAGAACAAAAAUGUGAUUUGUGCCCGGCCAUCUAAUCACGUAUAAUGUGCUCUUAUAAAUGAACCCACUUCAUGCAGACAAAAAUGUCGUCGUUGUUGGCACCAAUAGAACACGGGCUAUGAUUUCUCCUGGCAAUUUCCCGACCCACCGGUGUAGCGUAGCCACCGAGAAGGGAGCUGCAGAGCCAUGCCUCGUACACGGUCCGUGCUGGGGAGUAUGGCUUGCACUACUAGAGAACUGAUUUUAGAUACCACCCCAUUUAGUCUCGGUUUAAUUUCGACCCGGGAGAAAAGGGGGUGCGCUACAAUUUACUCCUGGUUGGUAUUUGCAAUCGGGACUAAAGGGGACCUUUUAGUCCCGGUUCAAAAAUCAGGCACAUGUGAGGAUCCUUUAGUCCCGGUUGAAAAAUUCAGGCACAUGUGGGGGACCCUUUAGUCCAGGUUGGUAAGAUCAAUCGGGACUAAACGGUGACCCUUACCACCCGGGACUAAAGCAACCAGUAUAAAAGGGGUCCUUUAGUCCCGGUUGGAAACUCCAACCGGGAUAAAAGGGUCCCCCACAGGUGGCUAAAAAAAGAAUAAAGCCCUCGGACCCUUUUUAUGACGGUUGGUGUUUCCAACCGGGAUAAAAAGGGUCCCCCACGUGUGGCUGGGAAAGGACUAAAUCCCUCGAACGUUUUUAUCCCGGUUGGUAUUACCAACCGAGAUUAAAUGAGGUCUUUAAUCCCGGUUGGUGUUACCAACCCGGAUUAAAGGGUCCUCCAUGAGUUAAUAUAAAAGGAUAGCAUCUCCUAUAUAGACAGAUGUGGUGUGUAGGUGGGAUGGCAAGGAAGCUAUGCGCAAGUCUUGAGGUCAUGGGUUCGAAGCCCACGGACCACGCACGCACAUAUUUCGCGUGAAAAAUUGUGUGACUUGAUAAAAGCAACGUUGUGCGUGUGGGGGGCCUCUAGGACCCCCCAAUAUUUUUUAUUUUUGCAAUUUUUUUUGCAAAACCGCGUGACAACCGUUUUAUCCCGGUUGGUAUUACCAAUCGGGACUAAAAGGGGAUCUUAUAUCCCGAUUUUGGGACCCAUGAUAAAAGACACCCCCCUUUUAUCUUGACGGAUUAAUCCCGGAUGUAUGUUCGGGAGAUAUGCACCCUACGAACCGGUACUAAUACCAAGUUUUCUAGUAGGGUUGAGAGAGUGGUGAGCAUUCAUAAUGCGAACCCAUUGCGCUGGCGGGCAAGAUAUGGGGCCCUACUGCUGCUGACCGAGAAGACAUCGGAUUUGGUAGUAGGUGAAAUAGAUCCGGCUCGGGAGGCCGCACUCCCGCCGCUAGCACCGGUUGCUAUGGCUGCCGGUGGGUAUCACCAAGCCAGGAUGGGGGAGGUAGGGAGACGGCGGGUGGAUGCUAGAUCUAGCUGGAUAGGGGUGGAUCUAGCCUCUGCAGAGCCAACUGCAACCCAUUGGAGCUUGCCUAGCCAUGGUGGCUUUUGGUGCAAAAAGAGAAGGCCACGUGGGGGGAGGAGACCCGCUGGUGAAGGCCCGCUGCCGCCAUCCUCACGCCUGCAUGGGCUUCCGGCGUGGCGCUCUGGUGGCAGCAAGGUGGAGGGAGGGGGAAGGUCUAUAGUGGUGGUGGUGGCGGCCCGCUCGAGGCACCCUAGGUGGAGAGGGUGACACGAGCAGCCUUCCAACGAUCUACAAUGGGUUGUCUAUUAAAUUGUUUCUCAAUAUUCUACACUAAUUAAUGAUUACACAAAAAGACACAUACAAUGGUUAUUGUGUUGUCUAUAAAACAUCUAAAUUGUGUUGGCCAUCAUAUCUUGUGCCAAACCCAUCUCUUUGUGAAGAUACAGCUUUGCUCGCUCUCAUUUACUCUAUGCCACAUGGGGUAGAAAUGCUUGCAUGGCUCAUGUAACUGAUCUUACAAAGUUUUGGGUAAGGUUUUAUGAGUAAGAGUAAACCCUAGUUCUCGUGUCCUAGCAUAUAUAUACUCCUUCACCAACAUCGAGGAGGUUCUUCAUUAGCAUUCUGAACAGGAGUUUCUUGAAUUCCUCUUCUUCCCCUCAUUUGUUUAGUAAUCCAUUUCUUGAGAGAAUGAGAGCAUUCUACCAUCAAACAAGUGUCGCUGCCUUGUUACUUGAGGUUGCUACAUCCUAGAAGAUUCUUAGAAGACAAAACUCUUGAGGUUGUAAACUAUACAAAACCUGGUUGUUCUUGUGAAGGGUGUUAUAUGCUCGUCUUAGCAAGAGAGAUGAAGAGCAUCUCUAGUAAAAUCUAGGCUUGGACAUUCUGAUCUGAGGUGGUUCAGCAUUAAGAGGUGUGUUGACACAAGCGGCUGCAACAUAUAGUCCACCUUAUCGUGGAUCAAGUGUGAAUGACAUUUCAUUAGUACUAUGGAAUAAAAUUAUUGUCUUGUGAUUGUUUAUCUCCUGGACUCAACUUAUAUACGUGCAAGUUACUUUGAGCAAAUUUAUAUUCCUAAGUACCGGAUUGCUCUUAUUACCUAGGUGGCUAGAUCGCAAAACUUGACAUAGGAUAUGUUGUGUCGUGAGUUAUUUAUUUUCCACUAACCAUAGUUGCUAGUUUUGCAAAAUUAGUUGAAACCCUCUACCUAGUAUCCUUUGAUCCUAAAGUAGCAUGCAGCCAUAUCAUUUACCCUCUUUUGGCAGAUGCAGAUAGAAAGCCGUUGGCUGUGAACUAUGAUGUUUUUUCCAUGUUUAAACUAACAUUUUUUCGGACAGUGGUUGCUUAUUCUUGAGAUUUGAAAGGUGAUUGUGCUCGGUAUGUUGUGCUCCGUAAGUGUGCUCUUGCUUAGGGAGCUAGAUGCAUGUAUAUGAGGUGAAAGGACCGUGCCCCUUGGUUUUGUGCUUUCAUGACUGUUAGUUUAAUUUCCUGUUGCCUUGAAGGAGGAAAAAAUAGAGAAGAAAGAAUUAAAAUGCAAGCUACAUUGUACGGGAGAGAGAGGAAGAUGAUAAGAAAGUAGAAAGGUCAAUGCCAUGUCGCAUCUAUGAAAUAUGACAUGAUGACAACUUGCUCAAAAAUGACAUGAGUGGAUUAUUUAGAUGGCAUUCAAUACUCCAAGGGAUGAAUGCAUGGUUUGUUUGCUAGAGUUGGUUAAGUAGAUGAAUAUCAAUACAAAAAGGACUAUCACAUAAUGUUCAUACUCCUUAUCAUAAGACUAUGUCUAAGUUCCUAUGAUACUUGAGGUCAUCACAAAUUUGUGAAAACUCUAUUACAUAUGGUUCACAACUGUGGUAUGCUGCUAUUAAUUGUUUGUGUAAGUUCCUGUGAUAUUGAUGUCACCACACAUUGUGAAAAACUAAAAACUCUAUCACAAAUGGUUCACAACUGUGAUAUGCUUCUACCUCUAGUUCUUAGCUUAAUGAAUAGUAACUAUUGCCAUGAAAAGUUCUGAGUUAUGAGAUUUGUGUUUGUUAAACAGAUGAGAAAGUCAUGUCCUUUCGGGGGAGAGGGAGAGGGGUAUGUAACUGUCUUGUUUGAGUUUGCUGUACAAAUUAAAAGUAAAAUAACAAAACUUAUACAUAUUAGAUUUUAAAAGUAACAUACCAGAAGUUGAUGUCUUGCAGAUAAUGACGCCAUUCAUUCAAUGGCAUUUUAAAAGAAAAUGGUUCCGCCAUGACUAACGUCAGUAGUUGACUCAAAUUGUCAAAUUGUGGAACCUGCCAGUGGUAGAAGUAAUUUGAACUAGUUAUUAACACAGAAUUACAAAGUUGUUUGGACAAAACAUGAAUAAAUAGUUAAACAAUUAAACAAUUACUGUUGUGGUCAUUGUUUUAUUUACCUACCUAUGCACAGGUCAAUAUAAUAGCUAGGUAGUUCAUUUGGAUAAAUUUAUUUGUAGCUAGAAAUUGUAAAAUAGAAAUCAGGGCACUGAGUUAGAAUAUUCAAAAAAUGAACUUAUUUCACAUUUGAGCAUUCAGAAGCUAACAUAUAUACAUGAUUAGAUCUAGAUUGCAUACCUACUUAUACAAAAACUAAUCACAUUUACCUUUAUAAGUAUAUUAUGAGUAAGGUUCUACAAAAUUUUUACUGGAGCACACAAAAUAGAUGUCAAUUGAGCGUCUUGUAAAAUACUUUUUUUAACACCUACUGUAACCACGUAUAGGAGGAAGAUUCUCCUGGUUUCAAAAUUAGUAGUCCUGACCUGACCAAAAACAUCGUGUCCUUCAUGAGGCUAGAUGGGGACAAGCUCCUAGAUUCACAUAGUAUUGCAGGGUCCAACCAAUUCAUGGAUUGACAAAAUAUGCAAGUUGCAAGGUACUCGUGCUUCUAGAUAAAGUUGACUUGAUCUAAAUCUUAAAUAAAGUUUACCUCUAAGAUGAAUAAAUUUCUACUUUCAUGUGUAAUCAUAACAAAAUCAUUUAAAAUUUAAUGUAUCGGUUUAAUUGAAUUUAAUGUUAAUCACUGCUAUAGUUAGUGUUUAUUUACCUCUGAUUUAACUUUGGCUGGUUGUCUAUAGUGAAUUUUCCCGGCGGAAUAACUUAGCGUGAUAUAACAUCAUACAGUUCCUUCGCCAAGAAAGCAAAAUUUUAACCUGAAGGUUGGCAAUACAUAUUGUCUCUCCAAGUAUGCUCCAGAAGAAAACACUUGUUUAUAUAAUAGUCCUGAGAAAUAAUGAGCAGUUCACAGCCAUUAUAUUAAUCAGAGCUUUUUAGUGCUAGCAAAUCAUGAAACAAGAAUGAUGCGUAUUAGUACCUGGUGCCAAAGUUUGUUGAUACUGCGUGGAUGACAGGAUAUGACUUUAACUUUCUGGGUUUCAGUUUGAACGGGGUUGGAUCAUAUCAAUAUUUUUGGUGUGUCAAUUUGUCACUAGAAGAAGAAAGUAAUUGCUAGAACGAAGGAAUAAAUAAAUAAUGUUUUGUUAGAACCAAUAAAUCAAAGAAAGGCAUUAGCUGUAGUGUAGAAGAACAAUGGAAAGGGAAUUUUGUUUCACUUUUUUUUUUAUUUUAUCACGAAGGAAAAAGGGCACGAAACAAGGGCAUGUAAAAUAAAAAGGAUAAAACGGCAUAAAAAUGCAGACUAACUGUACAGGAAUCAGCAUAUGUUUCUGUGAUUUUUAACUAAAGUUGAUGAACAAAAGCCAUAAUUCUAGAUAUGAAAGAACAAGAGUGAUAGGCAAACAAUCAGAUGUUUUUCUUGGGGUGGUGAUGGGGUGUUUGUGGAGGAUGGAUGGAGUUUUUUGUACUGUACUAGUUACUUCGUUGGGUACCUGAGAGAACCAGAACUGGCUGGUGGAGCAAAUGAGCAAAACGAAUAGCUGGGAAGGGAGUUGGCCAUUGUCCAUUGCUGUGCUCUCUUAUAGACAGGAAGCGAGGAACAGAGGGGCAAUAUUCUCUGGUUACGACAGCACGCAAAGUAUGCAUCUCUCAGCAAAGCUAAAGACUAAAGUUGAGAAUACCUAAGGAAUGGAUCAUACCAUGUCCAGAGAAGAAAAUGUAACAUGCAGGCUUAAAGAACAAAGGGCAUCCCAGGAUGGAGUAACAACCAUGACAAGGCACAAUGGCACGCCUUAAUAAAGCACGCGAGCGGAGCAAAGGAAGUAUUGCUUUGCUUAUAUCACAGUUGACAAUUUACCUCAACAACUGAACAUGACUACUCGUUCCGAUCCCGUCCGUUGGAUCCUCGCCUCGUCUGCUCUCUCGCCUCUCUCUCUCUCUCUCUCUCUCUCUCUCUCUCUCUCUCUCUCUCUCUCUCUCUCUCUCUCUCUCUCUCUCUCUCUCUCUCUCUCUCUCUCUCUCUCUGUUUCCCGUCAUCCAUGGCCAUGGAGAUCGAUCCCAUAAUCCCAUUCUCAUGCAGUCGCACUCGGAUGGCAGACACGAUCCCUACGGCCUACGUGUACGGCGAAUGGCGGCGAACGUGAUUUGAAACAGGCGGUGUCAUCUGAAUCUGCACGAAUCCAAUCCCUAAACGAGAAGAUGGAAACACAAGAGGAUUCAUAUCCACCUGACCGUUGACUCGUGGUGCCUAGUUAGCGAAACAGGACACAGUGCAAGCUACUAUGGCAAGCAAAUGAGCAAAACUAAGGAACCAGACAGCACUAUUGUUCUGAGCCGUCUCAACAUCAUCUGUCCAAUCCGAAAUGUAAACAUUUCCUAGUGUCCAGACUCCAGAACCAUUACUAGCAAUUAGUAGUUUAAAUUUUUAGUUGACACUCGAUCCGCACGCUGCCGGUACUUUGAAGCAUAAUUUACUUGAUUGCAGAUUAGCAGCCGAUCAAUCCACGAAGCAAACGUCCACUAGCUAGUACUAGAUCAAGCAUUGCAGGAAAUUAAACAAAUUUUAUUAAUUUCAAACAAAGCAGACUCUGUUAUAGUACACCAAUUCAAUACUUCAAAUAGAACAUACAUAAUCAAACAAGAGCAAGUUCAACAACACGUAGCAGCAAACAUACAUUACAUAGAUUAUAUAAUAAUAAUUUUGGCAUGCCGAGAUGGUCAUGCUGACAGACAAUCCGAUACUAUUGUAGCAAACAGAUUUAUAUUAUUACACCAGGCCAGUUUCACGCCGGCAAUCAAAGUCAAUGCAAAAACUGAUCGAAACAAGCACACAAGACACUCUUUUUUCUGGGAACUUAGCUUCUUCAUUAAUUAAGCAGCAUCAUUACAAUCAUUAAGCAGGCAUAGCUGCAAGAAGCUAGGGAAUUUUGGUUGGUCAUCAACCUCCAUCCCUGUUUGCCCAGCAUUGCGAUGUUGAAGAGUUUGAUGUCCCUGAAGCCCAUGCCUCCAUAGCACUUGGGUAAAGUGAGCUCCGACCAGCACCUCCAGUGUAUUCCCCGGCGAUCAACCUUGCUGCUCCACCAGUAGUUGGAGAUAGCCGAAGUUGUAGCACUGCAAGGGUGCACGGGAACCUGAGUAAAUUUCAGCUGCACGCGUUGUCUCGCUUCGGGGCGGCACGGGGGCACCUCCCACCUGCCGCCGCCAGCCCCAUCCAGCAGCCCAGCCGGCCGCCGUCCUGUCGGCCGGCGGCAGCAGCGGCCACACUUUAUUGGUGUUUUAUACCCGACAACCUAAUGAAGAGUAUCCUGAGGUAGUAAAUUGGUUGGUGGGGGAUCGUCGGAUCUGGAACUCAAAGGUAAAAGUGAGGAUAGAAGACACAGAUUUAUACAGGUUCGAACCGCUAGAGUAGUGUAAUAUCAUACAUCCUGUUUGGGGUGUUGUAUAUUGCGCCUUGCGCUUGGGUGUUGUUUGGUGUUGAGGAUUUGGUCCUCUGUUGUGGUUCUAUGAGGUCUUCGUCUACUGAUCUAGGGACCCCUGUCCUCCUUUAUAUACUCCAAGGGGUGGGAUUAAUAGUCGGUUACAAGGAGGAGUCCUAGUAGGAUUACAUGGUAUGACUUCUGAUAGGAUUACAGAGGAAUCCUAGUAGGAAUCCGUCUUCUUCCUUCCUUGCGGGUAUUGGGGAUCUAUACCCGACACGCCCCUUCCCUCCUCUCUCAUUUUCCUCUCUCCUCUAACCUUCUCCCUCUCCCCUGUCUCCUGUCCAGUGCUGCUAGUUGUUGCCGCCGGCUUGCUUGCUGCUGCCGCCAUUGGAGGUCAACAUUGCAGAUCUGGGUGGCGGCACGCUGGAUCCAAACCACAGCCCACCAGAUUUGGGUGGUGGGGUCCAUCUGUGGCUGCCUGGCACCGGCGAUGUUUAGGGCUCUGCGGCAGUCUGGGAGCGGGGUGCUGGGGUCGACCAGUGGAGCUUUCUCUCUCGGCAUGCCUGUGCCUCCAGCGGGUUGAGAGAUCUCCACCGUGCGCUCCUGCCAUUCGGAAUCUCCAGCCGCUGGGCCCGAUUCUACGCUUCCCUAGUUUGGAUCUUUGUCUUUCGGGCCCGUGGCCGCUACAGUUUGGGAUCGCCCGUGGUUCGCUGCAGACUGGAGGUGGGGGGCCUCUCCCCUUCGCCUCUCCGGUCCCCCCGGCUUGCCGGAUCUGGCUAUUGGGGGUGUUGCGGUGUGCCCGGGUGCCACUACCAUUAGGUGGCAUGUGUGGUGGGCUAUCUUCAUCUCAUUCCAAGAUCUUCAGGCGCCCUACUCGGUGAUGUGCUGAGCCAACAACGAUGGUGGUUGAGGGCCUCGUUCCCCUCCUCGGAGGCAUUGUUGAAAAGUCUCGGGAGACGUAGACCUUCCGCCCCGCCGCCGCUUUGCCGUUGAUGUGUUCCACCUGUGCUUUCACUGCUUUGGCCGCUGUCCUUUGUGUGGUUGCUGCCACCAUUGGUGGUUCCAUCCCGUCGAUGCUGCUUGUGGAUAGUUGCUUCGCUGGGGGGUCGCGGCACACUUUGGGGGAUAGGGGUGAGGCGUAAGCCUCUGCCUGCUUGCGGGCUGGUGAUGCCGACGCCCUCAGGCACCGUUUCCCUCCUUGGAGGCAUCAUUCGUUUGCCCCUUGCCCCUCCGAGACCCCCAAGUCUGGAUGGUGUGGUUCUUCCUCGGUACCUGCCUUCGCUUUGUUUUACACACUGUCACGUUGGUUGCCUAGGUCAUGGCAGAUGCUUUGCCUCCCUAUCGUGUUGUUGCAAAUGGUCAUCAUUCUGGGCGAAUGCUUUGUCACCUCUUUGUGUUGGUCGGGUGGACAUUUGUGCCACCACUGAUUGCUCCAUGCGGAUGCUUUGCUGCUGUUCUUCUACUCUAGUGGAUGCUUUGCUGCAAUGGUUGUGUUGUUCAGUGGAUGCUUCGCUACCGUUUUGUGUUUAUUGCUUUGAGCGGAUGCUUUGCCGCCGUGCUUCUACUCUGGCAGAUGCUUUGCCACCAUGGUUGUACUAUUUGGUGGAUGCUUCACCACCGUUUUGUGCUUCGAGAUUCCUCUCUCUUUCUCGGCUCCAAGGCGACGGUGUAUUCCUUUUGCAGGUUCAGUUCUUAAGGUGGCCUUGUUAGGGUGGCAGGGUUGGGUGUGUCCUGUCCCUUCGUGCUUCUCUUACUGUCUGUUUGUUGUGGUUACCACUUCGGUCGCUUGUCGGCUGUGAGUUUUUUUUGUACUUUUCUUCAGUGUUGAUCUGUUUUUAGUCCUUUGUGCUCUUGUGUUGGUCAAGCUUUGUUUGGCUACAUUAAGUAUUGUAUUUGUAAACUGCUUUCUUCUUAAUGAAAUACGUGCUAACACUACUAGAGAACUCACCUUCCAUCCAACCCUUUUUGUCCCAGUUGACUUUGAACCCGGGACUAAAGGCACACUUUAGUCCCCGGUCAAAAAUGAGCCACUGAAAGCCACGGAUGGGGGAGUUUUAGUCCCGAUUGUAAAGACCAACCGGGACUAAACCCCCUCGUCCCGAUUGUAACGGCUAAAAAAUUUGGCACCGAUGGUGGGAGCUCUUGUCCCGGUUGGAAAUUCCAACCGGGACAAAAGCCCCUCCUAUCCCAGUUGGUAAUUCCAACCGGGACAAAAGAUUUAGUCUCGGUUGGAAAUUCCAACCGGGACAAAAGGGGAGUCCCGGUUGGAAAUUCCAAUCGGGACAAAAGCUCCUCGCCUAUAAAUUCCCCUUGCUUCCUCCUCCCCGAGCCCGAGCCACUCCACCAGACCGAGGGCUUCUUCCUCCUCUCCAUGGCAAUCAAGCAACCUUAGAGAGGUGCUGCCCGAUCUUUUUCCUUAUUUCUGUGGGGAUUUCACUCAUCCAAAGUAUUGUAAAUGUUAGCUACUUCAUCCUCCCUUCAUUUCUUAUUAUUAUACUUUGUUUUAUGCUUUAGAGAUAGAGAAAAAUGAGUUUUUUAGAAUGAGGGAGAAUUGAGAGGAUGUUUAUUUAUAAAUAUUUUUGAGCUAGAAUUCGAUGGAUAGCUUGCUUGUUAUAUAUGAUUCGUAUUAGGUAAAGAACUUUAUCAAUAUUAGGUAUGGGAAAAAAAUAGAGUAAAUGUGUUUUUAAUAUUAAGUCAUUGUAAUAAAAUAAGGUAAAUAAAUUGUAGGUGUAAGAAAUAGAAUUUGGUCAUUGCUAUAGUUUUUCAUGUUACUGUAAUUUAACAAUAAUUGUAUUUCUUUGAGUAGUAAUUUAUUUAUCUCAUAUUUAUUGCAAGGACUAAAUAUUAUAAAUACAUUUACUCUAUUUUCUCCCCUACCUAAUAUUGAUCAAGUUCUUUAUCUAAUACGAAGCCCUAUGUUCAUUUUUAACGUAAUACAAUGCAGAUGGAUCGGCAAUAGAUGUACCACCUCCGCUCCUCCAACCCUAGAGAAUAGUGUCUGCACAUGGCAUGAAUGUGCUUACACUAUUCUCUAGUAUUGGAGGCGCGGAGGUGGCUCUUUAUUUUACUUUGUAUGAUUAGUUUGUAAAUAUAUUGUAGGUGUAAAAAAUAGAAUUUGAUCAUUACUACAAUUUUUUGGAAAGUUUGCAUGUUAAAUUAGAAUGACAUGAAAAUUACACCGGUCAACUUAAUGCUACAAUUGUGGAACAGGACAAUAAAGAUAUACUAAUAAAGACUACAGACGCUCCAUAGUGGACUUCACGGAGUGAGGAAUCCAAAAAUAAUGGUAGAACAGAAAAACUUCGAAGAAACUCGGGCUGAAUAUCAUAAACAAAUUCUGAAAUAGUAUUCCAAACGGCUUUUGGAACCUAAUUCUCAUAAUAGAGUGUACUGGCCCAAUAUCCGCUUUAGGCAGAGAUCUGUUCACUGACCUUGACCUAGCGGCUUUUGGUUGAUUUUGGCUUGCCACCAUGGGCCAUGCUCAAUGAACAGAUCUUUUGCCUGGACGGGCUAUUAUGUGUGUGCCACCAUAGUUCUAUUGUGAUCAUGUGACACUUGUUCCAAAAGACGUUUGGACAAUUAUUUCAAAAAUUCUUUACAAUAUUCAGCCUGAGGAAAUGAAGGCGGGGGACCUUUAGUCCCAGUUGUAAAUUCUAACUGGGACUAAAGGGUGCUUUUUUCACCUCCCACGUGAGAAGCACCCCGGUUAGAAAUUGCAACCGGAACUAAAGGGGGCCUUUAGUCAUGGGUUGAAUUUGCAACUGGGACUAAAGGCCCUUUAGUCCUAGUUGCAAAGUCAACAUGGGACUAGGGGGUUUAAAACAUCCGCCCCCUUCUCCCCUACCUCGUCCCCCUCACUUCACUGCUGGAUCCCCCGCCCCGGCCCGUGUCUUCUCUGCUCGUCUCCCUCCGUCGUUCGCCCGCUGUCUCCCUCGGCCGCCAUUCGCGCCCCAUCCGCCAUCGAUCUGUGCCUGCCCCAUCCGCCGUCCGCCCGUGCCCCAGUCAUACAAAGAUAAUGGAGGAAAGGCUUCACAUCACCGAAGUAACCGAAGAGGGCAAGCCAAUUGCUCCUGAAAAUGUGGUUAGAAAGUUUGUGAGCUAAUGCAGGGCUAUUGUAUGGGAUAACGUGCCCAUCAGCCUUAGGGAAUGGAAGGGUAAACAAAAUGAUCCAUAUGUGCUCCCGCAGACACAAAAAAAAUAUGUUGUGGGCAGAUGUCAAGAAACACUUCACACUUCCUGAAGGUGUCGACGAAAAAGUUGUGAAAGAGUGGACGCUGAAUAAGUUGGCAACCCAAUUCCAAACCUUCAAGAAGAAUCUGGAUGCCAACAUUAUCAAGAAGGGCCGAACUCCAAAUUUCGAUGAGUGGCCAAAGUUAAAGGACCACUGGAACUCAUUUCUGGAAUACAAGAUGAGUGAAACUAGUGCGAACAAGGUUCGUGUCCACUCAACCAAUGCCCAGAAGAAGGAGUAUCAUCACCGUUUAGGGCGAGGUGGUUACAUGAGUGCAAUUUCGAAAUGGAAAGAGAUUGAACAAGACCUAUUCGAUCGAGGUAUCGUACCAGCGACUAUUGACUGGCUCGAUCGAUCGAAGAAUUAGUAUUACGCUCACGGAGGCAACCUGAGCCAAGAGGAUGGGAUACUUAUGUUCAAGGCCGAAAGGCUUAUCCAAAAUAUUGAAGAUGCUAAAGCAGGAAAGAUGAAGGUUGAUAGAGAUAACGAUGAGCUCACUUUUGCGCUCAGGAAUCCCGAACACCAUGGACGUUGCUGAGGCUUCGGGGUCGUUUCGUGGAAGUUUGCUUUCCGUAGGGACAUCGACAUGUACAGAAGCCGCAAGAGAAGAAAGGAACGGCAAGAGGAGAGCUAGCGGUGCAUGUUAGAAGCUAAAGUGCAUUCACAAGAAGUAAGAAUGCAGAAAGAAAUUAAUCAGUGAGUGGUCCUGGUAGUUACUAAGAUGGCUCAAUCUGGAGUCGGAUCCCAACGUUGUCAUCCCUUCUCAACGCUAAAGCACCUGUGCUUCCACAAGGGUACCCUGUGGAUGACAUCACUCAGCACAGCUCAAAUCAUUUGAGCUGUAUAGACCAUUUGGUAACAUCACUAUUAAGGUAUACAUACAUAUAGUUUAUGCAAUCUUCUCAAUUGAUCCAUGCCUGGGGAGUUUAAUAACUUCUUUAUUUCUCCUAUAUGUACAGGUGGCGUACAGAAGUGCUUUACCAAUCCUGCCAGGACAGACAAGCCAUGGUAUGGAGAUUCCACCGGGCUACUCUAGCAUUGGCCUAGAGCAGAUUUGUGAUAGUCAAUAUGAAGGCCUAGAGCUCGACCUCCCGGGAGGUGACAGGGAAAGGACACUAGGAGAUGCAUCAUUCUAUGGUGCGAACGUUACAUCAUCAUCCCUUGUAAGAAGGCAUCAUUGCUCCCCAUAGAUCCCCCGCAGCGACCAUCUCCUCGGAACUCAAGACCAUCUUCUCUAGCACAUCCACCUCUAGGACCGUCGUCACCACCGGAACCGUCGCAUCCUGCUCGAUCACCGUCUCCAUCUCCAUCGAAUCCUAGUGGUGUGAGCGACGACGACCAAAACACCCCUCCCUAAUCACCGUCGCUAGGACUAAACUCUGGUGUGAGCAAGGAACUUGCAGUACCUCUGAAGAAGCUGCGACCGCUGCCUUCCAAGCCAAGGCAACCAAAGGCGAAAGAACCUGUUAAGAAAACAAAGAAGCCUGAACCUAUUCAAAAGCUACCAGUUGAUAUGACUACUGAGGAAUUGUGGGAGGCAUCGCAAGCAACAGUGGAGGGUGGCAUCUCAUCAAGGUUGGAGCAUUUGACAAGCAAGAGCUCUUUUAGAUUAGGCAUGUUAUGGAAGAAGUCUCCUUGGAAGUUGCUUAUAUUUGAAUAGGAGAGAUCGAAGUAGUAGAGCGAGCUGAGCUUUUUGUUGUUGUUGUUUUCACGGAGAGUAAUUUCUGUAUCUGGGAAGCUGAAUGGACUUCUGAGGUUAUAGCAGCCCCUAAGAGAAAGCAAUUGGAGUUUUUGGAGACAACAGAUUGAAGGAGGAAGUGAUUCUAGAGGAGUAUAGGAAAGAUCUAGAACAUGAAGGCAAGAAAGCUUGGCCAAGAAAUGAUUAGAUUGAAGCUUCGUGAACAAGCUCGACUGCUGGGGGCAAUGCCUUAUAAUUAGUGUUGUUGGGCCGCUAGCUCCCUGCCUUAACCAUUCUCUGCUUACGUGCCAUCCUUGACCGCCCACAUGCGAGAUGCACUGCAUGCGCUGUAGCCAAGGAUGAUUGCCCUCAAAAAGUUCAUCAUAUGUUGUGUGGUUCUCUGCAAUGAGGCCGCUAGGAAGUGUGCAUCAGAAUUUGUGGCUUCAUCAGCUUUAGUUGUAGGAGAAAAUGGAAGUUGCAGCAACAAGGUUUGGGCCUCCAUCUAGAGUCCAUAUGAAUGAAAUCAACUAGGCUUAUGGGCCGUACGCUCUAGAAGACUAGAACUUCCCGAUAAUUAAUGGAUGCUUUGCAGCAAUAAUAAUACAUGCAGGAAGAGCACGCGCUCAAUGAUACUAUACAAAUUAAGCUCUGUUCAGUGUUCCAUGCAAGACAUGAUCAUUGAUUUAGGAACAUUUCGUAAUAAUACUAAAAAGAGAGAAGAUUGAAGGUUAGUACGCCAGACUAAAGGGAGUAAAUUAAAGGCAUACAUCUGGCAGUGCUCUCUCUUUUCUUCUUUUUAUAAAGAAACAAAAGAUGUAAAUAGCAAAGCAACAAUGGUUUCAAUCAAUCUGCAUGCAGUCUACCGUUGCUUUAGUUCCACCUUGUGGUUCUUUCUAAACUAAGCUACCCAGUGACUGGAGUACCCGUUGAUGAAUUGGAUGUGAAGAGCUGAAUUGACUUGAGAUAUCCAAUCCAAAAUGUCAACAUUUCCUAGUUUCCAGAGUCGUGUUCAAACCUACUACUAGAUGAAACAAUGCAGCAAAUUAAACAAACUUUAUUAAUUUCACACAAAGAAAACUCAGUUAUAUCCAAUUCAAUACAUAUAUAAUCAAAUGACGACAGGUUCAACAACACGUACGCAUCAUACGCACAUUACGUGCUUAGCAUUCCGAGAUGGUCAUGCAUGCUGAUCAUGAGUGGGAACAAAACAUGCACUCCCACAAUAUUGUAGCAAACAAACUUAUACUCGCUCCGUCCAAAUUACUAUUUGUUUUGGGUUUUCUAGAUACGUAACUUUUGCUAUGCAUCUAGAUAUAUAUUAUGUUCAGAUACGUAGCAAAAAUUAUGUAUCUACAAAAGCUAAAACGAAUAAUAAUUUAGGAUGGAGGGAGUAUUAAUUAUUACACAAGUUUCACUUGUCACAGGCAAGCAAAGUCACCGCACAAACUGUCAAACUGAUCCGAGCAAAUUAGCACACAACAACACACACUGGCUGAAAUAUAAUAUACAAUCUGGUUGAGCUGCUACUGCUGGAUGGGCCGGCCUGCUGGGUGGGAGGCCGGUCGAUGAAGCAGUAAGACGAAGCUAAACCUUAUUUGGAAAUACCAUAUAACAAGGCAUACAUUGAACCAAUCAAAUUUUGGGAGAAGGCGCAUGCAGCAGGCGAAACUGGAGACGCAGGCUGUGUGCAUGAAUGGGGCGACGGAUGUUGCUGACUUAUUGCUGUGGAAUCGACAAAUCUAAUCAAUAAUGUUUGGAAGCUGAACGUGUGGAUAUAUGACGGCAAAUGGAGAUUGAAAAUCACAUCACGUACCGAUUAACUUGAUCAACUUGUAGGCUUGAGCAUGGUAUGUAUUCCUUCAUCAUCUGAGGUAAGUCCUGAUGACGACACGCUCGCGGAUGGAGGCAGACGCCGGGGGAAGCCUGGCCUCGUAGCUGCCGCGAUGCGAAGGCACGUCGUCCCACCACAGCUUGGUCCACCAGGCCCGCUCCCCACUCACCUUCACGGCCUUGUCUGGUUGCUGGUCGAGGCGCGGGAGGCGGCGCAAGCUCCAGCACCCACGGACGUGGAGCUCCUCCCACGCGGGCGCGGUCAGGAUGGCCUCGUCGACUUGGGGAUGCUCCAGUAGUGGCAGCUCCUGGAGGCGUAUCCUUCGGAGGCGAGGGAGCUGGUAAUAAUUACGAGGAUGAUAAUUGUUGCCGUAGAAAAUUGCCUUGAGGUUGUAGCAGAAGCGGAUGUCCAGUGUCACAAGACUUGGCAGUGCAGAUGGACUUGAUAUUACCUCCAAUCUCGGGCAGUACUCUAGGUGUAGGUGCUUCAGUGUAUCGAAACCAUCGUAGCCACCAGAGUAGAAACGGGUUAGACUUUUCAGAUGGGAGACAAAUGCAUGCCUCAAAGGUCUCACAUAGUCACUAAAGACUUCUUGCAUCUGAUGGCACCGUUGCAGCUUACAUUCCUCCAGCUCACUAUCCAAAUAACCCAGAUCACUGAGACAGGAGAUGUGAGUGUCAUCUGACAUGCUAAUUGACUUUGUGACUUGUAGAAGAUAAUAUAGACCACGGGGAUACCGAUCCACGGCUGAGAUCUCCACGUGACGCUCAGCCUCCCGAAAGGGAGGCACGUCAUCCAUUGACACCAUAAAGACUACUCCAUCUGUCAGAUAGUGAUGGUUUACAUCAGCAUAUGCUGUUAGUGCUACUUGAAGCCUGUCGGUUUUCACCAUGUCCUCUUCAUCAUGUAUCUCCCUAGUUGUGGCCUUGCAUGAUGUAACUCGAACAUAGAAAGAUUUCAAAAGGCUUCCACCUCUUACUAAAUCCCUGGUGCUCGAGUCGAAGCUAUAAAAGAAUCUGGAAUCACUUACGCACACCUGAGCAUCUUGUGGAUUGGAAUGAUUACCAGUUUUGUCUGAGCAUUGAUCCAAGCAAAACACACCUGGGAGUCUCUGCAGCUUAUGCCAAGGAAAUCGUCUGAGGAAUGGAACGCCCAUGAGAAGCAAUCGCCUAAGCUGGGGUAGAUUAGGAAUGUCCUCUGGGAGCUCUCUGAUAGCUGUAGCAGACAAAUCAAGCUCCUCCAAAGCAUCAACCUCCUUAAUGUCAACAUGCUCCAACAUUGUACAUCCACGCAAGGACAACCGCCUCAUAUGAGGUGCACCGAUGAAUGUGAAUGAUCUCAGGGUUGGGUGCCUCUCUAAAGUUACCUCUACUUCUGUCAUUGGCUCACAUCCUUCAAUAUGUAUAUUGAUCAAGCCACAUAAUUUGGAAACCAACCCUGGUACUAACAACAAUUUCUUGUUCUCGGUUAGCUUGAGUGAUUGGAGCUUCUUCAUUUCCUCAAACAUCUCCCUAGGAAAAGAUUUUAUUUGAGUCCUUGUGAGCUCGAGUGUUGUUAGACUAGACAAUGCAACAAUGGAGGGUGGCAUCUCCUCAAGGUUGGAGCAUUUGACAAGCAGGAGCUCUUUUAGAUUAGGCAUGUUACGGAAGAAGUCGCCUUGGAAGUUGCUUAUAUUUGAAUAGGAGAGAUCGAAGUAGUAGAGCGAGCUGAGCUUUUUGUUGUUGUUGUUUUCACGGAGAGUAAUUUCUGUAUCUGGGAAGCUGAAUGGACUUCUGAGGUUAUAGCAGCCCCUAAGAGAAAGCAAUUGGAGUUUUUGGAGACAACAGAUUGAAGGAGGAAGUGAUUCUAGAGGAGUGUAGGAAAGAUCCAGAACAUGAAGGCAAGAAAGCUUGGCCAAGAAAUGAUUAGAUUGAAGCUUCAUGAACAACCUCGACUGCUGGGGGCAAUGCCUUAUAAUGAGUGUUGUUGGGCCGCUGGCUCCCUGCCUUAACCAUUCUCUGCUUACAUGCCAUCCUUGAUCACCCAGAUGUGAGAUCCACCGCAUGCGCUCCAGUCCAGGAUGAUUUCCCUCACAAAAAAAAACUUCUUCUGUUGUGUGGCACUCUGCAACGAGAUUAUAACAAGCUAGGAAGUGUGCAGCAGAUUUUGUGGCUUCAUCAACUUUAGUUGCAGGUGAAAAGAGAAGCUGCAGCAACGAGUACUCUCGAAAAGCUUCAAGGAUGACAUUUCCCACUUGGUAUAUAUUAUUGUAUUUGCCUUGGCAGUCAGCUGCUGUCACCUCCGUUGUUCUUUCUAGCACGCCAGUAAUGAGGCCCUGUAUGGCCCAUUGACGUAUCAGCUGCUCAUCUGAAGUAAUAUCAGCUAGUGCAUCAGAACUCUGCUGAUCUCCAUCUCUAUGGGCAUAUGAACAGUGUGGAAUGAGCAGCAUGAGGAUGUAGUGAAAGCACCGGACGGCCACGUGGUGCCAAUAUUGUUCAUCUUUGUGGCCGGUCACGCCCAAGAUGUACUUAGCUGUCUGAUGCAGUGAGUAGAGAGUAAGCAUCAAUAUGUCAUCCCCACUGAAAGAAUCAACGAUACAAUUAUAAUCCGGCUUGCUCCUGUCAUAGACAUCUUUGGAGGUGCCGGAUACAAUCCAGAAAGAGCCUUCCCACUGAGGAGGAGGAAGGCAUGAUAAGUCUUCGGUGAAAGCACUAAGAUUGAUGGGCUUAAUGGGCUCAUUGAGGUUGUUAAUCACCAGCAGGUACUUCUUCUCCAGCAGCUUUUUCACUAUUUGAUAAACCGUUGAUUUUACAUUUUUUUGCAAGGAGUCCGUUGCAUCCUGGUAGCCAUAGGUAUAGUACCACAGCUCAUCGCCCUCUGCUUUUAGCAUGUCGUAUUCUUGGUUGAGUAGCCCAAGCUGCUCCGCCACUUUGAUGGCCAGCUUGUCAUUAAUACUGAGCCUCGUUCCAAGCACUAACGCCUGCUUCAUGUCCACCUCUAUCACGUGGUCAAAGGGACCUUCCUCCUUGAUCUUGACCUCCCGAAUGAUGCUUGAUAUAGCUCGUGUGAAACAUGCUGCGGGUCCCACCCCAACAUUCCACUGCACGAAUCCAUACCUGUCGAGUUUUUCUUCCAAGUCACGAUAUGCAGGGCUCUUGAGAAAUCCUUUCAACCUGGCAGCACAAAUAAAAAAGGCUCCGUUACGUGCUUUUUGAACAACUUGUGCUCAAUGUUGAGUAAUUUGUUAAUCAUAUUCUCUUUUAUGCCUGCCCAUUUAUUUUAUUUUUAUUCUCACGUUUGACGCUACUGAAAACAGCAAACAUGAAGCUUAAUGCCGAUACUGUACAUCCUUGUCCGUUGACAUAUAAAAUCACUUUUUUAUGCAUGUUUUAUCAACAAACUUAUUUGAUAAUGAUAACAAUAAUAAGUAUAAGAAUUCGGGUGCAUAUCUGAGUGAAAAUGCUGCCAUUAACACCGGGUAUGGGAAAGACAAGCAAAAUAAUUCUUUCUUUUCUUCAAAAUAAUUCUUUCUUUUCUUCACGAUAUAACUGUUAAUUGAAUAAAUAAAGCUUGCCAUGUGGCUUUCUUUAAAAAAACAUAAGUAGAAAUGUGGCCUGCAUAAAUUUUUGUGUUGUUGUUCUGAUGACCAAAAAUAUAUGUUUAAAUAUUCUUUUAGGCAAUAUAAAUCUUUAUGUUUUAGCAAAACAGGAACAAUUAACUGGCACUUAUAACACUUUAUGAAGCCAUUGAACAUAUUAGGUGACCUAGAGAAAUGGAUUAAGAAAACAAAGCAUAUGCAUCCGAGAGAAAAAGGAGGAACAAAAUUAGGAGAUUCGAGAAAGAUGAUCAUGGCGUGGUGGCGGAGGCGGUGGGGCUUAUAACUCUAUUGCUGACUUGUUUGAAUCAAGUGCACGUCAUAUGACUAGCUCCCUCAUCAAGUUCAUCCCAUUGUUUCACCUAAGUUGAUGUAUGAGUUCCUAUUGAGGGUAUAGUGAUGAUGAGAUUAAAAAGCCUUGAAUUGCAUGGGCGGUCUCAAAGCACCAGGGGUUGAUGGUAUGCCAGCUUUAUUUUUUAAAAAAAUAUUGGGAUAUUGUUGGCAAAGAUGUGUGGUGCAGGAGGUGAGGAAGCUACCGUUGGAAGGUGAAAUGCCCAAAUGAUGGAAUGUCAUUUCACUAGAUAUGAUUGCCUAGAACAAAAAUGUGAUUUUGUGCCCGGCCAUCUAAUCACGUAUAAUGUGCUCUUAUAGAUGAACCCACUUCAUGCAGACAAAAAUGUCGUCGUUGUUGGCACCAAUAGAACACGGGCUAUGAUUUUUCCUGGCAAUUUCCCGACCCACCGGUGUAGCGUAGCCACCGAGAAGGGAGCUGCAGAGCCAUGCCUCGUACACGGUCCGUGCUGGGGAGUAUGGCUUGCACUACUAGAGAACUGACUUUAGAUACCACCCCAUUUAGUCUCAGUUUAAUUUCGACCCGGGAGAAAAGGGGGUGCGCUACAAUUUAUUCCUGGUUGGUAUUUGCAAUCGGGACUAAAGGGGACCUUUUAGUCCCGGUUCAAAAAUCAGGCACCUGUGAGGAUCCUUUAGUCCCGGUUGAAAAAUUCAGGCACACGUGGGGGACCCUUUAGUCCAGGUUGGUAAGAUCAAUCGGGACUAAAAGGUGACCCUUACCACCCGGGACUAAAGCAACCGGGAUAAAAGGUGGCUAAAAAAAGAAUAAAGCCCUCGGACCCUUUUUAUGCCGGUUGGUGUUUCCAACCGGGAUAAAAGGGUCCCCCACGUGUGGCUGGGAAAGGACUAAAUCCCUCGAACCUUUUUAUCCCGGUUGGUAUUACCAACCGAGAUUAAAUGAGGUCUUUAAUCCCGGUUGGUGUUACCAACCCGGAUUAAAGGGUCCUCCAUGAGUUAAUAUAAAAGGAUAGUAUCCCCUAUAUAGACAGAUGUGGUGUGUAGGUGGGAUGGCAAGGAAGCUAUGCGCAAGUCUUGAGGUCAUGGGUUUGAAGCCCACGGACCACGCACGCACAUAUUUCGCGUGAAAAAUCGUGUGACUUGAUAAAAGCAACGUUGUGCGUGUGGGGGGCCUCUAGGACCCCCCGAUAUUUUUUAUUUUUGCAAUUUUUUUUUGCAAAACCGCGUGGCAACCGUUUUAUCCCGGUUGGUAUUACCAAUCGGGACUAAAAGGGGAUCUUAUAUCCCGAUUUUGGGACCCGUGAUAAAAGACACCCCCCUUUUAUCUUGACGGAUUAAUCCCGGAUGUAUGUUCGGGAGAUAUGCACCCUGCGAACCGGUACUAAUACCAAGUUUUCUAGUAGGGUUGAGAGAGUGGUGAGCAUUCAUAAUGCGAACCCAUUGCGCCGGCGGGCAAGAUAUGGGGCCCUACUGUUGCUGACCGAGAAGACAUCGGAUCUGGUAGUAGGUGAACUAGAUCCGGCUCGGGAGGCCGCACUCCCGCCGCUAGCACCGGUUGCUAUGGCUGCCGAUGGGUAUCACCAAGCCAGGAUGGGGGAGGUAGGGAGAGGACGGGUGGAUGCUAGAUCUAGCUGGAUAGGGGUGGAUCUAGCCUCUGCAGAGCCAACUGCAACCCAUUGGAGCUUGCCUAGCCAUGGUGGCUUUUGGUGCAAAAAGAGAAGGCCACGUGGGGGGAGGAGACCCGCUGGUGGAGGCCCGCUGCCGCCAUCCUCACACCUGCAUGGGCUUCCGGCGUGGCGCUCUGGUGGCAGCAAGGUGGAGGGAGGGGGAGGGUAUAUAGUGGUGGUGGUGGCGGCCCGCUAGAGGCACCCUAGGUGGAGAGGGUGACACGAGCAGCCUUCCAACGAUCUACAAUGGGUUGUCUAUUAAAUUGUUUCUCAAUAUUCUACACUAAUUAAUGAUUACACAAAAAGACACAUACAAUGGUUAUUGUGUUGUCUAUAAAACAUCUAAAUUGUGUUGGCCAUCAUAUCUUGUGCCAAACCCAUCUCUUUGUGAAGAUACAGCUUUGCUCGCUCUCAUUUACUCUAUGCCACAUGAGGUAGAAAUGCUUGCAUGGCUCAUGUAACUGAUCUUACAAAGUUUUGGGUAAAGUUUUAUGAGUAAGAGUAAACUCUAGUUCCCGUGUCCUAGCAUAUAUAUACUCCUUCACCAACAUCGAGGAGGUUCUUCAUUAGCAUUCCGAACAGGAGUUUCUUGAAUUCCUCUUCUUCCCCUCAUUUGUUUAGUAAUCCAUUUCUUGAGAGAAUGAGAGCAUUCUACCAUCAAACAAGUGUCGCUGCCUUGUUACUUGAGGUUGCUACAUCCUAGAAGAUUCUUAGAAGACAAAACUCUUGAGGUUGUAAACUAUGCAAAACCUGGUUGUUCUUGUGAAGGGUGUUAUAUGCUCGUCUUAGCAAGAGAGAUGAAGAGCAUCUCUAGUAAAAUCUAGGCUUGGACAUUCUGAUCUGAGGUGGUUCAGCAUUAAGAGGUGUGUUGACACAAGCGGCUGCAACUUAUAGUCCACCUUAUCGUGGAUCAAGUGUGAAUGACAAUUCAUUAGUACUAUGGAAUAAAAUUAUUGUCUUGUGAUUGUUUAUCUCCUGGACUCAACUUAUAUACGUGCAAGCUACUUUGAGCAAAUUUAUAUUCCUAAGUACCGGAUUGCUCUUAUUACCUAGGUGGCUAUGUCGCAAAACUUGACAUAGGAUAUGUUGUGUCGUGAGUUAUUUAUUUUCCACUAACCAUAGUUGCUAGUUUUGCAAAAUUAGUUGAAACCCUCUACCUAGUAUCCUUUGAUCCUAAAGUAGCAUGCAGCCAUAUCAUUUACCCUCUUUUGGCAGAUGUAGAUAGAAAGCCGUUGGCUGUGAACUAUGAUGUUUUUUUCCAUGUUUAAACUAACAUUUUUUCGGACAGUGGUUGCUUAUUCUUGAGAUUUGAAAGGUGAUUGUGCUCGUCCGUAAGUGUGCUCUUGCUUAGGGAGCUAGAUGCAUGUAUAUGAGGUGAAAGGACCGUGCCCCUUGGUUUUGUGCUUUCAUGACUGUUAGUUUAAUUUCCUGUUGCCUUGAAGGAGGAAAAAAUAGAGAAGAAAGAAUUAAAAUGCAAGCUACAUUGUACGGGAGAGAGAGGAAGAGGAUAAGAAAGCAGAAAGGUCAAUGCCAUGUCGCAUCUAUGAAAUAUGACAUGAUGACAACUUGCUCAAAAAUGACAUGAGUGGAUUAUUUAGAUGGCAUUCAAUACUCCAAGGGAUGAAUGCAUGGUUUGUGUGCUAGAGUUGGUUAAGUAGAUGAAUAUCAAUACAAAAAGGACUAUCACAUAAUGUUCAUACUCCUUAUCAUAAGACUAUGUCUAAGUUCCUAUGAUACUUGAGGUCAUCACAAAUUUGUGAAAACUCUAUUACAUAUGGUUCACAACUGUGGUAUGCUGCUAUUAAUUGUUUGUGUAAGUUCCUGUGAUAUUGAUGUCACCACACAUUGUGAAAAACUAAAAAACUCUAUCACAAAUGGUUCACAACUAUGAUAUGCUUCUACCUCUAGUUCUUAGCUUAAUGAAUAGUAACUAUUGCCAUGAAAAGUUCUGAGUUAUGAGAUUUGUGUUUGUUAAACAGAUGAGAAAGUCAUGUCCUUUCGGGGGAGAGGGAGAGGGGUAUGUAACUGUCUUGUUUGAGUUGGCUGUACAAAUUAAAAGUAAAAUAACAAAACCUAUACAUAUUAGAUUUUAAAAGUAACAUACCAGAAGUUGAUGUCUUGCAGAUAAUGACGCCAUUCAUUCAAUGGCAUUUUAAAAGAAAAUGGUUCCGCCAUGACUAACGUCAGUAGUUGACUCAAAUUGUCAAAUUGUGGAACCUGCCAGUGGUAGAAGUAAUUUGAACUAGUUAUUAACACAGAAUUACAAAGUUGUUUGGACUAAACAUGAAUAAAUAGUUAAAUAAUUAAACAAUUACUGUUGUGGUCAUUGUUUUAUUUACCUACCUAUGCACAGGUCAAUAUAAUAGCUAGGUAGUUCAUUUGGAUAAAUUUAUUUGUAGCUAGAAAUUGUAAAAUAGAAAUCAGGGCACUGAGUUAGAAUAUUCAAAAAAUGAACUUAUUUCACAUUUGAGCAUUCAGAAGCUAACAUAUAUACAUGAUUAGAUCUAGAUUGCAUACCUACUUAUACAAAAACUAAUCACAUUUACCUUUAUAAGUAUAUUAUGAGUAAGGUUCUACAAAAUUUUUACUGGAGCACACAAAAUAGAUGUCAAUUGAGCGUCUUGUAAAAUACUUUUUUUAACACCUACUGUAACCACGUAUAGGAGGAAGAUUCUCCUGGUUUCAAAAUUAGUAGUCCUGACCUGACCAAAAACAUCGUGUCCUUCAUGAGGCUAGAUGGGGACAAGCUCCUAGAUUCACAUAGUAUUGCAGGGUCGAACCAAUUCAUGGAUUGACAAAAUAUGCAAGUUGCAAGGUACUCGUGCUUCUAGAUAAAGUUGACUUGAUCUAAAUCUUAAAUAAAGUUUACCUCUAAGAUGAAUAAAUUUCUACUUUCAUGCGUAAUCAUAACAAAAUCAUUUAAAAUUUAAUGUAUCGGUUUAAUUGAAUUUAAUGUUAAUCACUCCUAUAGUUAGUGUUUAUUUACCUCUGAUUUAACUUUGGCUGGUUGUCUAUAGUGAAUUUUCCCGGCGGAAUAACUUAGCGUGAUAUAACAUCAUACAGUUCCUUCGCCAAGAAAGCAAAAUUUUAACCUGAAGGUUGGCAAUACAUAUUGUCUCUCCAAGUAUGCUCCAGAAGAAAACACUUGUUUAUAUAAUAGUCCUGAGAAAUAAUGAGCAGUUCACAGCCAUUAUAUUAAUCAGAGCUUUUUAGUGCUAGCAAAUCAUGAAACAAGAAUGAUGCGUAUUAGUACCUGGUGCCAAAGUUUGUUGAUACUGCGUGGAUGACAGGAUAUGACUUUAACUUUCUGGGUUUCAGUUUGAACGGGGUUGGAUCAUAUCAAUAUUUUUGGUGUGUCAAUUUGUCACUAGAAGAAGAAAGUAAUUGCUAGAACGAAGGAAUAAAUAAAUUAUGUUUUGUUAGAACCAAUAAAUGAAAGAAAGGCAUUAGCUGUAGUGUAGAAGAACAAUGGAAAGGGAAUUUUUUCACUUUUUUUUAUUUAUCACGAAGGAAAAAGGGCACGAAACAAGAGCAUGUAAAAUAAAAAGGAUAAAACGACAUAAAAAUGCAGACUAACUGUACAGGAAUCAGCAUAUGUUUCUGUGAUUUUUAACUAAAGUUGAUGAACAAAAGCCAUAAUUCUAGGUAUGAAAGAACAAGAGUGAUAGGCAAACAAUCAGAUGUUUUUCUUGGGGUGGUGAUGGGGUGUUUGUGGAGGAUGGAUGGAGCUUUUUGUACUGUACUAGUUACUUCGUUGGGAACCUGAGAGAACCAGAACUGGCUGGUGGAGCAAAUGAGCAAAACGAAUAGCUGGGAAGGGAGUUGGCCAUUGUCCAUUGCUGUGCUCUCUUAUAGACAGGAAGCGAGGAACAGAGGGGCAAUAUUCUCUGGUUACGACAGCACGCAAAGUAUGCAUCUCUCAGCAAAGCUAAAGACUAAAGUUGAGAAUGCCUAAGGAAUGGAUCAUACCAUGUCCAGAGAAGAAAAUGUAACAUGCAGGCUUAAAGAAUAAAGGGCAUCCCAGGAUGGAGUAACAACCAUGACAAGGCACCAUGGCACGCCUUAAUAAAGCACGCGAGCGGAGCAAAGGAAUAGUAGUAUUGCUUUGCUUAUAUCACAGUUGACAAUUUACCUCAACAACUGAACAUGACUACUCGUUCCGAUCCCGUCCGUUGGAUCCUCGCCUCGUCUGCUCUCUCGCCUCUCUCUCUCUCUCUCUCUCUCUCUCUCUCUCUCUCUCUCUCUCUCUCUCUCUCUCUCUCUCUCUCUCUCUCUCUCUCUCUCUCCCUCCCGUCAUCCAUGGCCAUGGAGAUCGAUCCCAUAAUCCCAUUCUCAUGCAGUCGCACUCGGAUGGCAGACACGAUCCCUACGGCCUACGUGUACGGCGAAUGGCGGCGAACGUGAUUUGAAACAGGCGGUGUCAUCUGAAUCUGCACGAAUCCAAUCCCUAAACGAGAAGAUGGAAACACAAGAGGAUUCAUAUCGACCUGACCGUUGACUCGUGGUGCCUAGUUAGCGAAACAGGACACAAUGCAAGCUACUAUGGCAAGCAAAUGAGCAAAACUAAGGAACCAGACAGCACUAUUGUUCUGAGCCGUCUCAACAUCAUCUGUCCAAUCCGAAAUGUAAACAUUUCCUAGUGUCCAGACUCCAGAACCAUUACUAGCAAUUAGUAGUUUAAAUUUUUAGUUGACACUCGAUCCGCACGCUGCCGGUACUUUGAAGCAUAAUUUACUUGAUUGCAGAUUAGCAGCCGAUCAAUCCACGAAGCAAACGUCCACUAGCUAGUACUAGAUCAAGCAUUGCAGGAAAUUAAACAAACUUUAUUAAUUUCAAACAAAGCAGACUCUGUUAUAGUACACCAAUUCAAUACUUCAAAUAGAACAUACAUAAUCAAACAAGAGCAAGUUCAACAACACGUAGCAGCAAACAUACAUUACAUAGAUUAUAUAAUAAUAAUUUUGGCAUGCCGAGAUGGUCAUGCUGACAGACAAUCCGAUACUAUUGUAGCAAACAGAUUUAUAUUAUUACACCAGGCCAGUUUCACGCCGGCAAUCAAAGUCAAUGCAAAAACUGAUCGAAACAAGCACACAAGACACCCUUUUUUCUGGGAACUUAGCUUCUUCAUUAAUUAAGCAGCAUCAUUACAAUCAUUAAGCAGGCAUAGCUGCAAGAAGCUAGGGAAUUUUGGUUGGUCAUCAACCUCCAUCCCUGUUUGCCCAGCAUUGCGAUGUUGAAGAGUUUGAUGUCCCUGAAGCCCAUGCCUCCAUAGCACUUGGGUAAAGUGAGCUCCGACCAGCGCCUCCAGUGUAUUCCCCGGCGAUCAACCUUGCUGCUCCACCAGUAGUUGGAGAUAGCCGAAGUUGUAGCACUGUAAGGGUGCACGGGAACCUGAGUAAAUUUCUGCUGCACGCGUUGUCUCGCUUCGAGGCGGCACGGGGGCGCCUCCCACCUGCCGCCGCCAGCCCCGUCCAGCAGCCCAGCCGGCCGCCAUCCUGUCGGCCGGCGGCAGCAGCGGCCACACCCUGUUGGUGUUUUAUACCGGCAACCUAAUGAAGAGUAUUCUGAGGUAGUAAAUUGGUUGGUGGGGGAUCGUCGGAUCUGGAACUCGAAGGUAAAAGUGAGGAUAGAAGACACAAAUUUAUACAGGUUCGAACCGCUAGAGUAAUGUAAUAUCAUACAUCCUGUUUGGGGUGUUGUAUAUUGUGCCUUGCGCUUGGGUGUUGUUUGGUGUUUAGGAUUUGGUCCUCUGUUGUGGUUCUAUGACAUCUUUGUCUACUGAUCUAGGGACCCCUGCCCUCCUUUAUAUACUCCAAGGGGUGGGAUUAAUAGUCGGUUAUAAGGAGGAGUCCUAGUAGGAUUACAUGGUAUGACUUCUGAUAGGAUUACAGAGGAAUCCUAGUAGGAGUCCGUCUUCUUACUUCCUUGCGGGUACUGGGGAUCUAUCCCCAACACGCUCCUUCCCUCCCCUCCCAUUUUCCUCUCUCCUCUAACCUUCUCCCUCUCCCCUGUCUCCCAUCAAGUGCUGCUAGUUGUUGCCGCUGGCUUGCUGGCUGCUGCCGCCCAUGGAGGUCAACAUUGCAGAUCUGGGUGGCGGCGCGCUGGAUUCGAACCGCAGCCCACCAGAUUUGGGUGGUAGGGUCCAUCUGCGGCUGCCUGGUGCCGGCGAUGUUUAGGGCUCUGCGGCGGUCUGGGAGCGGGGUGCUGGGGUCGACCAGUGGAGCUUUCUCUCUCGGCAUGCCUGUGCCUCCAGCAGGUUGAGAGAUCUCCGUCGUGCACUGGCUGGCGUGCGCUCCUGCCAUUCGGAAUCUCCAGCCGCUGGGCCCGUGGCCGCUGCAGUCUAGGAUCGCCCAUGGUUCGCUGCAGACUGGAGGUGGGGACCUCUCCCCUUCGCCUCUCCGAUCCCCCGGCCUGCCGGAGCUAGCUGUUGGGGGUGUUGCGGUGUGUCCGGGUGCCACUACCAUUAGGUGGCAUGUGUGGUGGGCUAUCUUCAUCUCAUUCCAAGAUCUUCAGGCGUAAGCCCUACUCGGUGCUGUGCUGAGCCAACAACAACGGUGGUUGCGGGCGUCGUUCCCCUCCUCAGAGGCGUUGUUGAAAAGUCUCGGGAGACAUAGACCUUCCGCCCCGCUGCCGCUUUGCCGUUGAUGUGUUCCACCUGUGCUUUCACUGCUUUGGCCGCUGUCCUUUGUUUGGUUGCUGCCACCAUUGGUGGUUCCAUCCCGUCGGCGCUGCUUGUGGAUGGUUGCUUCGCUGGGGGUGUCGCGGCACACUUUGGGGGAUAGGGGUGAGGCGUAAGCCUCUGCCUGCUUGCGGGCUAGUGAUGGCGAUGUCCUCGGGCACCGUUUCCCUCCUUGGAGGCAUCAUUCAUUUGCCCCUUGCCCCUUCGAGACCCCAAGUCUGGACGGUGUGGUUCUUCCUCAGUACCUGCCUUCGCUUUGUUUUACACACUGUCACAUUGGUUGCCUAGGUCAUGGCAGAUGCUUUGCCACCCUAUCGUGUUGUUGCAAAUGGUCAUCGUUCUGGGCGAAUGCUUUGUUGCCUCUUUGUGUUGGUCAGGUGGACAUUUGUGCCACCACUGAUUGCUCCAUGCGGAUGCUUUGCUGCUGUUCUUCUACUCUAGCGGAUGCUUUGCCGCAAUGGUCGUGCUGUUCGGUGGAUGCUUCGCCACCGUUUUGUGUUGAUUGCUUCGGGCGGAUGCUUUGCCGCCGUUCUUCUACUUUGGCGGAUGCUUUGCCGCCAUGGUUGUACUAUUUGGUGGAUGCUUCACCACCGUUUUGUGCUUCGAGAUUGCUCUCUCUUUCUCGGCUCCAAGGCGAUGGUGUAUUCCUUUUGCAGGUUCAGUUCUUAAGGUGGCCUUGUUAGGGUGGCAGGGUUGGGUGUGUCCUCUCCCUUCGUGCUUCUCUUCCUGUCUGUUUGUUGUGGUUACCACUUCGGUCGCUUGUCGGCUGUGAGUUUGUUUGUACUUUUCUUCAGUGUUUAUCUAUUUUUAGUCCUUUGUGCUCUUGUGUUGGUCAAGCUCUGUUUGGCUACAUUAAGUAUUGUAUCUAUAAACUGCUUUCUUCUUAAUGAAAUACGUGCUAACACUACUAGAGAACUCAACUUCCAUCCAACCCUUUUUGUCCUAGUUGACUUUGGACCCGGGACUAAAGGCAUACUUUAGUCCCAGGUCAAAAAUAAGCCACUGAAGGCCACGGAUGGGGGGAGUUUUAGUUCUGGUUGUAAAGAUCAACCGGGACUAAACCCCCCUAGUCUCGGUUGUAACGGCUAAAAAAUUUGGCAUCGAUGGUGGGAGCUUUUGCUCUUAUCCCAGUUGGUAAUUCCAACCAGGACAAAAGAUUUAGUCUCGGUUAGAAAUUCCAAUCGGGACAAAAGGCGAGUCUCGGUUGGAAAUUCUAACCGGGACAAAAGCUCCUCGCCUAUAAAUUCCCCUUGCUUCUUCCUCCCCGAGCCCGAGCCACUCCACCAGACCGAGGGCUUCUUCCUCCUCCUCUCCAUGGCAAUCAAGCAACCUUAGAGAGGUGCUGCCCGAUUUUUUCCUCAUUUCUGUGGGGAUUUCACUUAUCCAAAGUGUUGUAAAUAUUAGCUACUUCAUCCUCCCUUCAUUUCUUAUUAUUAUGCUUUGUUUUAUGCUUUAGAGAUAGAGAAAAAUGAGUUUUUUAGAAUGAGGGAGAAUUGAGAGGAUUUUUAUUUAUAAAUAUUUUUGAGCUAGAAUUUGAUGGAUAGCUUGCUUGUUAUAUAUGAUUCGUAUUAGGUAAAGAACUUUAUCAAUAUUAGGUAUGGGAAAAAAAUAGAGUAAAUGUGUUUUUAAUAUUAAGUCAUUGCAAUAAAAUAAGGUAAAUAAAUUGUAGGUGUAAGAAAUAGAAUUUGGUCAUUGCUAUAGUUUUUCAUGUUACUGUAAUUUAACAAUAAUUGUAUUUCUUUGACUAGUAAUUUAUUUAUCUCAUAUUUAUUGCAAGAACUAAAUAUUAUAAAUACAUUUACUCUAUUUUCUCCCCUACCUAAUAUUGAUCAAGUUCUUUAUCUAAUACGAAGUCCUAUGUUCAUUUUUAACGUAAUACGAUGCAGAUGGAUCGGCAGUAGAUGUACCACCUCCGCUCCUCCAACCCUAGAGAAUAGUGUCUGCACAUAGCAUGAAUGUGCUUACACUAUUCUCUGGUAUUGGAGGAGCGGAGGUGGCUCUUUAUUUUACUUUGUAUGAUUAGUUUGUAAAUAUAUUGUAGGUGUAAAAAAUAGAAUUUGGUCAUUACUACAAUUUUUUGGAAAGUUUGCAUGUUAAAUUAGAGUGAUAUGAAAAUUACACCGGUCAACAUAAUGCUACAAUUGUAGAACAGGACAACAAAGAUACACUAAUAAAGACUACAGACGCUCCAUAGUGGACUUCACGGAGUCAAGAAUCCAAAAAUAAUGGUAGAACAGAAGAAUUUCGAAGAAACUCGGGCUGAAUAUCAUAAAAGAAUCUUGAAAUAGUAUUCCAAACGGCUUUUGAAACCUAAUUCUCAUAAUAGAGUGUACUGGCCCAAUAUCCGCUUUAGGCAGAGAUAUGACCUUGACCUAGCGGCUUUUGGUUGGUUUUGGCUUGCCACCAUGGGCCAUGCUCAAUGAACAGAUCUUUUGCCUGGACGUACUAUUAUGUGUGUGCCACCAUAGUUCUAUUAUGAUAAUGUGACACUUGCUCCAAAAGAUGUUUGGACAAUUAUUUCAAGAUUCCUUUACGAUAUUCAGCCUGAGUAUGUGGAUUCGAAGAUCUUCUGUUAUACCAUUAUUUUCUGGUACUAGAGGAGCGGAGGUGACUCUCCAUAGACUUCGUAGAAGAUUGAGUCAUGUGCAGAGGUGGUUUGGAGGGCGAAUAUUCUGCUAUGUUGUACCAUUAUUAUAGGAUAAUUGACUACAUGAAAUCCACUAUGUAGCAUCUAUAAUCUUUAGUGUAUAUGUAUCUUUAUUGUCUUGUUUCAGAAUUCUAGCAUUUGUCUUUUUGUCGACGUAGUGAAUGUUAUGAAUGUUGAUUGGUGUAAUUUUCAUGUAAAUCGUUUUUAUCUUUAUGACGGUUGAUUGGUCUAAAUUAUCAAUAUUGAUCAGGUUCUUUAUCUAAUACGAAGACCUAUGUCCAUUUCUCACGUAAUAUGAUGCAGAUGGAUCGGCAAUGAAUAUAUAACGCGGAUAGAUGGAUCAAAGAGUUUGUUGAUGGCUUGCAUUAUUUUCUCGAAGUGACCAAAGUCAACAAGCUAGAGAAGGGAUUCAUAUAUUGCCCAUGCCUCGAAUACAGUAACAAGAAGGACUACUCUUCCUGAGGGACUGUUCACAGCCACUUGUUUAGAUUUGGUUUCGUGCCUAACUAUUUGGUUUGGACCAAGCACGGCGAAAGAGAGGUUAUAAUGGAAGACGGUGAAGAUGAGGAGGAUGAUAACAACAUUACGGACUGGACAGCAGGCUAAGCUUUUGUAGAUACUACAAUGGGCGAGGCUGAUGAAGAAGAGUUUGCAGAAGAUGGCCGUAUUGAUGAUCUUGGUCAGGUGCUAGGGGAUGCAUAGGGAGAUUGCGAAACUGAGAAGGAAUCAGAAAAGUUGCAGCGCAUGAUAGAUGAUCACAAAAAAUUGUUGUACCCAGAUUGCAAGCAGGGGCAUAAAAAACUGGGUACCACACUAGAAAUGCUAUAAUGGAAAGCAAAAAAUGGUGUGAGCGAUAAGGCAUUUUAGGGGAUAUUGAAAAUUGUAAAGAACAUUCUUCCCAAGAAUAAUGAAUUGCCAUCCAUAACAUAUGAAGCUAAACAGGUUAUUUGCCCUAUGGGAUUGGAGGUUCAGAAGAUACACGCAUGCCCUUAUGACUGUAUCCUCUAUCGUGGUGAUGAAUAUGAGAAAUUGGAUGCUUGUCCUAUGUGCGGAGCGCUGCUAUAAGAUCAGGCGAGAUGAUCACAGCCACAUAAUUCUUCCAAAUAAAAGAAAAAUCGUGGGAGUCGAAGACAAAACAGAGCAGUCAAAUGAUUAUGAUCAGUUUGAUGGCAUGCUUCCAUUCGUUGUCGAAGUUGACCCAAGCAUCAUGCUAGCCAAAGAAGAGGUUCCGUACUUACGCCGCAAUUAUGACCAAGGAACUUUCGUUAAGAAGAAGUUUUUUAACGUUACAUUGUAAUGCACUAAAUAUGGUGCACCUUCAUGUAAUGCUUUAUGGCCAUCAGAACCUUUGGAUUAUAUUGUAAUACUCUAUGGUGAACAUUUAUUCGAUCUAUAUAAAUAAUGUUAACUUAACCACAUUUUUUGCACAGUGAAAUUAUUUAAUUGAAGAAUUUGUUGAUCAUAGUGAUGCAUUAAAAUAAUUAUUUUAGAAAUUUAAACAACUAGUAUAGAAUUAAUGACUGAUUCAAACUUAUUUUAAAUAUACUUGCUAAUUUAAUAUAUUUUUGCAUGUUCAAAAUACGUAAAGUUUUUAUUUUUCUUUAACAACAAAACAACUUAAUAUAUAUAUAAAUUAAAAUUGCAAAAGUCAGAGGAAAUGAAAGGGGGACCUUUAGUCUCGGUUGUAAAUUCUAACCGGGACUAAAGGGUGCUUUUUUCACCUCCCACGCGAAAAGCACCCCGGUUGGAAAUUGCAACCGGAACUAAAGGGGGGCCUUUAGUCAUGGGUUGAAUUUGCAACCGGGACUAAAGGCCCUUUAGUCCUGGUUGCAAAGUCAACCUGAGACUAGGGGGUUUAAAACAUCCACCCCUUUCUCCCCUGCCUCGUCCCCCUCACUUCACUGCUGGAUCCCCCACCCCGACCAGUGUCUUCUCCGCUCGUCUCCCUCCGCCGUCCGCCCGCCGUCUUCCCCAGCCGCCGUCCACGCCCCAUCCUCCGUCAAUCCGCGCCCGCCCCAUCCGCCAUCCACCCGUGCCCCGAUCAUACAAAGAUAAUGGAGGGAAGGCUUCACAUCACCGAAGUAACCGAAGAGGGCCAGCCAAUUGCUCCCGAAAAUGUGGUUAGAAAGUUUGUGAGCUAAUGCAGGGCUAUUGUAAGGGAUAACAUGCCCAUCAGCAUUAAGGAAUGGAAGGGUAAACAAAAUGAUCCAUAUGUACUCCCGCAGACACAAAAAAAAUGUGAAACCCUAAAAUAUGUUGUGGGCAGAUGUCAAGAAACACUUCACACUUCCUGAAGGUGUCAACGAAAAAGUUGUGAAAGAGUGGACGCUGAAGAAGUUGGCAACCCAAUUCCAAACCUUCAAGAAGAAUCUGGAUGCCAACAUUAUCAAGAAGGGCCGAACUCCAGAUUUUGAUCAGUGGUCAAAGUUAAAGGACCACUAGAACUCAUUUCUAGAAUACAAGAUGAGUGAAAUUAGUGCGACCAAGGUUCGUGUUCACUCAACCAAUGCUCAGAAGAAGGAGUACCAUCACCGUUUAGGGCGAGGUGGUUACAUGAGUGCAAUUUCGAAAUGGAAAGGGAUUGAACAAGACCUAUUCGAUCGAGGUAUCGUACCAGCGACUAUUGACUAGCUCGAUCGAUCGAAGAAUUAGUAUUACGCUCACGGAGGCAACCUGAGCCAAGAGGAUGGGAUACUUAUUGUGCGUUUGGUUGGGAGACAAUGUAGAACGGGAUGGUCCCGUCCCAGUUUUUCGGGAUAGGAUGAUCCUAUUUCAUGUUUGGUUGAAUGUGAUGGGUCCGUCCUAAUGUUUUGUUUGGUUGGAGAGAUUGCUAUAGAGGGACGAGCACCGUUUUCUCCUUCUGUUAACACCGUUCGUGGGGCCCACCUAUCAUACUAACCGCCAUCUUCUUCCUCCACCCCGGUUCCGCUGUUGGCUCUUGGGCUCGCCGUUGCGCCGCUGGGGGAGCUUGCCCCGGGCGCGCCGCCCGUGAAUCGGGCCUCGCCGGCCUCGAGCCGCCGCUUGCCGAAUCUCAGGGGCCGUGGGGGAGCUCGCGCGCACCGGCCGUGGCGGAGGUCCCGCCCGCCGGCCGUGCUCGCCCGCGCCGGCCGUGCUCGCUCGCGCCGGCCCCUCCACCGCGGCCGGCCCCUCCGCCGGCGGCUCCCCCCCUGCCCAACCUCGCCCCCUCCACCGGUGCGGAUGGACGGCGCGUGACGGGGGCGAAGUGGGAUGCCCCCGUCCGCUUGUUUUGGUGGGAUGGGGGCAUCCCGCAUCUGGAGGGUAUAUUACCUCAUAGGGAUGUCCCCAUCCCACCUGUCUCCAAACCAAACACGGGAUGAAGUGGGAUCGUCCCGUCCCGUCCCACUUCGUCCCUCAAACCAAACACACCCUUAUGUUCAAGGCCAAAAGGCUUAUCCAAAACAUUGAAGAUGCUAAAGCAGGAAAGAUGAAGGUUGAUAGAGAUAACGAUGAGCUCACUUUGGCGCUCGGGAAUCCCGAACACCGUGGAUGUUGACGAGGCUUCAGGGUCGUUCUGUGGAAGUUUGCUUUCCGUAGGGACAUCGACACGUACAGAAGCCGCAAGAGAAGAAAGGAAUGGCAAGAGGAGAGCUAGCGGUGCAUGUUAGAAGCUAAAGUGCAUUCACAAGAAGUAAGAAUGCAGGAAGAAAUUAAUCGGCGAGUGGUCCUGGUAGUUACUGAGAUGGCUCAAUCUGGAGCACUGUCGGAUCCCAACGUCGCCAUCCCUUCUCAACGCUAAAGCACCUGUGCUUCCACAAGGGUACCCUGUGGAUGACAUCACUCAGCGCACCUCAUUUGAGCUGUAUAGACCAUUUGGUAACAUCUAUACAUAUAUAUAAUUUAUGCAAUCUUCUCAAUUGAUCCAUGCCUGGGGAGUUUAAUAACUUCUUUAUUUCUCCUAUAUGUACAGGUGGCGUACAGAAGUGCUUUACCAAUCUUGCCAGGACAGACAAGCCAUGGUAUGGAGAUUCCACCGGGCUACUCCAGCAUUGGCCUAGAGCAGAUUUGUGAUAGUCAAUAUGAAGGCCUAGAGCUCGACCUCCCGGGAGGUGACAGGGAAAGGACACUAGGAGAUGCACUUCACGAGAUCAUUCUAUGACGCGAACGUUACGUCAUCAUCCCUAGUAAGAAGGCAUCAUUGCUUCCCAUAGAUCCCCCGCAGCGACCAUCUCCUCAGAACUCAAGACCAUCUUCUCCAGCACAUCUACCUCUAGGACCGUCGUCACCACCGGGACCAUCGCAUCCUGCUCGAUCACCGUCUCCAUCUCCAUCGAAUCCUAGUGGUGCGAGCAACGAUGACCAAAACACCCCUCCCUAAUCACCGUCGCUGGGACUAAACUCUAGUGUGAGCAAGGAACUUGCAGCACCUCUGAAGAAGCCGCGACCGCUGCCUUCCAAGCCAAGGCAACCAAAGACGAAAGAACCUGUUAAGAAAACAAAGAAGCCUGAACCAAUUCAAAAGCUACCGGUCGAUAUAACUACUGAGGAAUUGCGGGAGGCAUCGCAAGCAACGGUGGAGGGUGGCAUCUCGCCAUCUCCUCAAGGUUGGAGCAUUUGACAAGCAGGAGCUCUUUUAGAUUAGGCAUGUUAUGGAAGAAGUCUCCUUGGAAGUUGCUUAUAUUUGAAUAGGAGAGAUCGAAGUAGUAGAGCGAGCUGAGCUUUUUGUUGUUGUUGUUUUCACGGAGAGUAAUUUCUGUAUCUGGAAGCUGAAUGGACUUCUGAGGUUAUAGCAGCCCCUAAGAGAAAGCAAUUGGAGUUUUUGGAGACAACAGAUUGAAGGAGGAAGUGAUUCUAGAGGAGUGUAGGAAAGAUCUAGAAUAUGGAGGCAAGAAAGCUUGGCAAAGAAAUGAUUAGAUUGAAGCUUCGUGAACAACCUCGACUGCUGAGGGCAAUGCCUUAUAAUGAGUGUUGUUGAGCCGCUGGCUCCCUGCCUUAACCAUUCUCUGCUUACAUGCCAUCCUUGACUGCCCACAUGCGAGAUGCACUGCAUGCGCUGUAGCCAAGGAUGAUUGCCCUCAAAAAGUUCAUCAUAUGUUGUGUGGUUCUCUGCAAUGAGGCCGCUAGGAAGUGUGCAUCAGAAUUUGUGGCUUCAUCAGCUUUAGUUGUAGUAGAAAAUGGAAGUUGCAGCAAGAAGGUUUGGGCCUCCUCUAGAGUCCAUAUGAAUGAAAUCAACUAGGCUUAUGGGCCGUACGCUCUAGAAGACUAGAACUUCCCGAUAAUUAAUGGAUGCUUUGCAGCAACAAUAAUGCAUGCAGGUAGAGCACGCGCUCAAUGAUACUAUACAAAUUAAGCUCUGUUCAGUGUUCCAUGCAAGACAUGAUCAUUGAUUUAGGAACAUUUAGUAAUAAUACUAAAAAGGGAGAAGAUUGAAGGUUAGACGCCAGACUAAAGGGAGUAAAUUAAAGGCAUACAUCUGGCAGUGCUCUCUCUUUUCUUCUUUUUAUAAAGAAACAAAAGAUGUAAAGAGCAAAGCAACAAUGGUUUCGAUCAAUCUGCAUGCAGUCUACCGUUGCUUUAGUUCCACCUUGUGGUUCUUUCUAAACUAAGCUACCCAGUGACUGGAGUACCCGUUGAUGAAUUGGAUGUGAAGAGCUGAAUUGACUUGAGAUAUCCAAUCAACAUUUCCUAGUUUCCAGAGUCGUGUUCAAACCUCGAAUAAGAAAUUUGUACUUAUUUAGAAACUCGGUCCUUGAUUUUUUUUUCAGAAAAAGAAAAACUCGAUCGUCAGUGCCGGUUUUUGCAUAAUUUACUUGAUACCAGAUUAGCGCAGAUCAGCCCAUGAAGCAAAUAUCCACACUACUACUAGAUGAAACAAUGCAGCAAAUUAAACAAACUUUAUUAAUUUCACACAAAGAAAACUCAGUUAUAUCCAAUUCAAUACAUAUAUAAUCAAAUGACGACAGGUUCAACAACACGUACGCAUCAUACGCACAUUACGUGCUUAGCAUGCCGAGAUGGUCAUGCAUGCUGAUCAUGAGUGGGAACAAAACAUGCACUCCCACACUAUUGUAGCAAACAAACUUAUACUCGCUCCGUCCAAAUUACUAUUCGUUUUGGAUUUUCUAGAUACGUAACUUUUGCUAUGCAUCUAGAUAUAUAUUAUGUUCAGAUACGUAGCAAAAAUUAUGUAUCUACAAAAGCUAAAACGAAUAAUAAUUUAGGAUGGAGGGAGUAUUAAUUAUUACACAAGUUUCACUUGUCACAGGCAAGCAAAGUCACCGCACAAACUGUCAAACUGAUCCAAGCAAAUUAGCACACAACAACACACACUGGCUGAAAUAUAAUAUACAAUCUGGUUGAGCUGCUACUGCUGGAUGGGCCGGCCUGCUGGGUGGGAGGCCGGUCGAUGAAGCAGUAAGACGAAGCUAAACCUUAUUUGGAAAUACCAUAACAAGGCAUACAUUGAACCAAUCAAAUUUUGGGAGGAGGCGCAUGCAGCAGGCGAAACUGGAGACGCAGGCUGUGUGCAUGAAUGGGGCGACGGAUGUUGCUGACUUAUUGCUGUGGAAUCGACAAAUCUAAUCAAAAUGUUUGGAAGCUGAACGUGUGGAUAUAUUUUUUUUUUGAACGAAUGGGCACGGGACAGUGCCUAUUUCAUUGAGAUAGUAGAAUAGUACAUGAAAGUUACAAGGAAGUUACAAAAUUAAUCUCGUAGCGCUAUUACUCUCUUGAUAAAAAAGACGCUAAGGCUCUCGCCCCCACUGAUAUCCAGGUGCUUGCUUCCUCUUUGAUUUUUGCCAACAUUGAGGUGGUUGCCAUCUCUUGGUGGUUAAAAAUUCGUCAAUUUCGCUCCUUCCAGAGUUCCCAUAUUAUUAGCAGUCCCAUAGAGCCAACUCCUUUCCGAGGUGCUUCAGUCCUUGUCGUCAUGUUGAUCCACCAAUCGAGGGCGUUGUCGAUUGGGUGCCAUUCCGAGGGUUGUAUGCUGGGUUGCGAAGCCCAAUUGGCAACGUGGCUCCAUAUUCGCCUGGUGUAUCUGCAUUGGGCCAGGAUGUGAUGUGCUGUCUCUUGUUGUCCGCGGCAUAAAGGACAAUUUGGUGAGUGAGGCCAUCCUCGUCGCGCAAGUCGAUCAGCUGUCCAGACUCGGUCCUGUAGUAUCAACCACGCGAAGAAUUUGCAUUUCGGUGGCGCCCAGCAUUUCCAUAUUGUUUUGCUGUGUGGUGCAUAAGUGGAGCCUAGGAACUGCGCCUUGUAUGCUGAUGCCGCUGAGUACUGUCCGUUUUGUGUGAAUUUCCAACGGAUUGUGUCUUCCUGUUGUUCUUGCAGCGUUACUGGUGCUAGUAGCCGCCAUAAAGUGACGAAUUCUUGCAAGUGUUGUGUUGUCAGUCCGACAUGGAUGUUAAUGUCCGCCACCCAGCUAUUAUUGUGUAGGGCUUCUGCGAGUUUUUUAUGUUUCCUCCUGGAUAGUUUAUAUAGGUUGGGCGCAAUGUCCUUUGGUCUAGUUCCCCGUUCCCAAGCUGAGUGCCAGAAGCUUGUUUUGCGUCCAUUGCCCGCUGUGAUAGUUGUGCAAGCCGCGAAUAGAUGUUGGUCAGAGUCGUCACAUGGGGUGCCCAUUCCGAUCCAUGUUUUCCCCGGGGAUUCCCACUCAUGCCAAAGCCAGCGCAGUCUCAAGGCUCUAGCGAAAUUAGUGAGGUUCAACACUCCUAGUCCGCCAUUUUCUUUCGGUAAGCAGGAUUUCAUCCAAUUGACCUUGCAUUUGCCGCCUGUCAGCAUACUACCUCCGGCCCAAACGAACCGUUUCCUGAUUUUGUCGACUUCUUCCAUUACUUCGCUUGGAGGUUUUAAGACUGUUAGCAGAUAUAACGGUUGCGCCGAGAGCACAGCUUUGGUGAGGCAGACUCGGCCUGCUUGUGUAAUGUUGCGAUUGUGCCAUCCAGAUAGCUUCUUAGCUGCUUUGUCUAUUAGUGGCUGAAAGUCCACUUUCCGUAGACGUCUUAUCGCAAGUGGUAGCCCAAGGUAUUUUAGCGGAAAGCCUGUGCGAGUGAUCGGCCACUCGGAGAGGGUUUCAUCUAGGUCCACGUUAUUGCAGCUAAUGGGGGCCACAGUUGUCUUUUGUAGAUUUGUUUGUAGUCCUGUAGCCUCACCGAAUAGGUUCAAUAGUUUUGUGACAUUUGUGACGUCUGCUUGAGUUGGCUUUAUGAAGAUGACCGCGUCAUCCGCGUACAUAGAGAUGUUGGUGCGCGGCGUACGACCACCUAGCUUUUUGAGUAGUCCCAUGCCCGUCGCCAUGUGUAUGAAUUGAUACAGUGGAUCUAUCGCCAGGAUGAAGAGGAAGGGGGACAGGGGGUCUCCUUGUCGUAGUCCUCGUCCAUGCAUUAUUGGGUCAGAUGGAAUGCCGUUUAUCAGGACCUUGGAGGUUGAUGUGGUUAGUAAAGCCGUGAUCCAGUUUCUCCAUCUUGUGGGAAAUCCUCUGUGUUGCAAUAAUUCAAGCAGGUAGUCCCAGCGUACCGAGUCAAAAGCCUUUGAGAUGUCUAGCUUCAUUAGCAACGUCGGCAUUCUGUGCCUGUGGAAUCUUCUUGCCAUAUUCCUAACAUAAAGGAAAUUGUCGUGGAUGCUUCGUCCUUUAAUGAAGGCACUUUGGCUUGGCGAUAUCAAUUUGUCCAUGUAGGGUUGAAGCCUAGUGGCCAGCAUUUUGGUAAUUAUCUUUGCUAUUGCAUGUAUGAGACUUAUCGGUCGGAAUUCAUUGAUACUCUCGGCUCCAUCCUUUUUGGGUACUAGUACAAUGUUGGCCGAGUUGAGCAAAUUUAGGUCGUUGCAUCUACCCGCGUGGAAGGCGUUUACUGUUGCUAUAAUAUCUCCUUUAAUUAUAUUCCAGCACGAUUUGAAGAACAAGCCAGUGAAGCCAUCUGGUCCCGGCGCUUUGUCCUUGGGCAGGGCAGUUAUUGCAUUUUCUAUUUCCUUAUCCGAAAAAGGGUUGUCAAUGCCGGUUAGAUCCACUGGUGGAAACUGUAGUUUUUCCCAGUCGAAAGUUUUGGUGCGGGCAGGUGGGGCAGACAUCACACCAUCGAAAUGAUUCUGGAUUAUCUGCUGUUUUUGUGAGUGCGUUACGGCCCAGUCAUUUCCCAUCCGCAAACGUUGAAUGAAGUUUUUUCUUCUUCUCCAAUUUGCCUUGAGGUGAAAAAACUUAGUAUUUGCAUCACCAUGUCGUAGAUAGGUUAUCCUAGAGCACUGUUUCCUUCUUGCUUUUUCUAUGGUUGCCCAUCCUAACAGUCUGUUUUUGAGUUUGCUCCGUAGACUGUGCUCCGGUGCAGUGAGCAAUCUUGCUUCCUCGGCUACGUCGAGGCGUAGAAUGACUUCUUGAGCCAUAUGCAUUUUUAAUCGAGCCUCAGAGAUUGGCAUUCGACUCCAUGAUCGCAGUGCUUGAGCUGUUUUGUGUAGUUUGUAGCCCAGCCUAUGGAACAGCUCAGUGUGGGUGGUCGGCUUUGACCAUUCCUUGGUAACAAUCUCAUGAAACCCUGGUAACCGUGUCCAGAAGUUUUCGAAUUUAAAUGGUGUCGGUUUGCGCGGCCCCGAUUGUUGCACCAGUAGCAAAGGGCAGUGGUCUGAAUGCGAGGAAGAGAGAGCAUGGAGGACGUGGUCGUUGAAGUGUAGGUCCCAGGGUGCAUUGCAGAAAACUCUGUCGAUUCGCGUUAGCGUCGGUUGAUGCCGCGCGUUGCUCCAGGUGAAUCUCUUGUUUUGUAGUGGUAUUUCUUUAAGGCCGCAGUAAUUAAUUGUUGCUCUGAAACGCCUCAUAAGCCUCCUAUUGAGGUUGUUGUUGUUCUUGUCUCUUGCACUGUAUAUUAAGUUAAAGUCACCCAGUAUGAGCCAUUGAGUGUUGUACUCUAGCGUCAUUGCUCGCAGGUGGCGAAGGAAGGCCGGCUUGGCUAAGUGUCGCGAUGGGCCGUAUACCGUCGUGAGUUUGAAGCGAACGUUGCUGUGUUUAACUAUUGCUGUUGCUGAGAUCGAGAACCGGUUUGUUUGAAUGUCCUGUAUGUCAAACACUCUUUCAUCCCAGAGUAAGAGGAUACCGCCCUUCGUGCCUGAAGCUGCUUGGAAUGUAAAGUUAUUUAAGCGGGAUCCCCCUAGGAGGUUAGCUAGAGCCGCGUCGAUGUUUUGCAUCUUUGUUUCUUGCAGGCAUGCGAUAUGGCAUGUUGUCGCCGCAAUGGUUUCGCGAACUGUGAGACAUCUUGCUGGUGCAUUUAGCCCUCUCAUAUUCCAGCUCAAAAUUUGGAAGUUGUCAGUCAUUUAAUUUAUUUUGUGGCGCAUGAAGUUGUACUGGUCGUUUUUGCGGAUUUUGCAGCGACUCCUGCGGUAGUGGUGUUGUGACACGCGGAAUAGUAAGCUCGUAGAUGCGCUGGUCACUGUUCGUAUGUGGUGCUGCUACUAAAUCACUCCUGUUGUCGUUGUCGCAUUUUAUCACCGUAAUAGCUGUCGCCGCAGGUUUAGGUUCGUAGUAGUAGUCGUGGCAUAGUUUGGAGUUCAAGGUUUUUGCCCGAAGGUCGCAGCCAGCAGGGCUAAGAUGAAGUCCUCCCCGAAGGUCGCAGCCAGCAGGGUGAGGAGCUGAAUUAGAAAUUACAUAAACGUCGCGGUAGCAGUAGUAGUAGUAGUAGUAGCAGCGAUACAUAAUAGAGUAGUGAGACACUUGAUGCAAUUGUCCUGGCAGGGCACUCAUGCAGCCGCAUGGUCCAACUGCUGGAGUUCUCCCACAUCAUCCCCUGCCAUCAGGAGAAGCGCUUCGUUCACUUGGUCCGCCGCGUCGUCGUCAAGGUCGAAGAGGGCGGUCAUGGCGGAGAUGACGUAGUCCGGUAGCGCCCCCUGAAACAUGUUAAGAAAAUCUUGCAACACUUGCUCGAUCGGUGCCAUCUCGUCGUUGCCUACACCUAAUUUUCUCUAGAGGUUUCGUUGUGCACGCUCGACUGCUGGCAUAGAUGGCUUUUUGGCUAGGCGUGCGCUCCGCCGCACUUUGCUCGUAUCAAAGGUGCGGCCCCUACGCAUGCGUUGCGGUGGUUGCUGCGGCAGUGCUGGUGGCGGCGGUGUUGCAAAGAGAUCGUCAAUUUGUGGUGCUGGGAUGAUUUGUGUUGUCUGUGGCGCAGGAGGUGAUGGCGUGUGCUACUCUGGCCUUAUAGAGUGGAUGGGCGUCUGGUGGGCGCUAGGUUUGUUCAGCAGGGUGCGUUGGGCCGCAGUGAAACACUCAGUGAUUGAGUUGUGGGUCAGCCCAUUAUCAUCCCCCACAGGAGAAGCCGUCUCCCUUGGCCCAAUUCGAGAUGGGCCGCCCGCCUCAUUUGUCCUUCGCGGUGGCAGAUGAGCAGGAACAGCAUUUAUUUGGGCCCCCACCUGUUGGGCCUCCUUGCCGAGCAACUUGCCCGUUGGGUGUUGGGCCGCAGCCUGCUCAUUCUGCUGGGCCGCACCCCCUACAAGUUCCAGUGCAGCCUCGACGCACAGGGCAUCAAGCGCCCGGCUGACCUCUUGGACUGGAGAAGCCGCCGCCGCCGUCGCCGUCGAGUCCUGUAGCAGCGUCGCGCGGAGCCGGUCGAAGACGCGCGGCACCUCUUGGACAGAUGGAGACGCCACUGCCGCCGUCGCCGUCGAGUCCUGUAGCAGCGUCGCGCGGAGCCGGUCGAAGACUCGCGGCAGCGGAACUGGAUCGGACCAGGCCUUUUCCCCUGGCGCCGCAUCAUCGAUGCCGAGGCGGUCGGCGAGCCAGCACGCCUUGCGGAUGUACUCAUCGGCUCCGGCGUGGCAGAAGCUCUUCCUGGCGCCCAAGGUAGAAGAGUCAGUCAUUGGGGGUACUGCGGUUACCUAGUGCUGGACGUAGUGCUUCAGUGCUGCCGCUUGCGCCGCGAAGAGAGCUUGGAGCUGCGAUGGGGCUAGGCUGGUUAGCCCCGGUGCACCAUCUUCGUGUCGUCGUCCCUGCGGAGGAGCGUAGCUUCGCCUUGGGGGGGAACGUGUGCGGUCAUGGCACACCUUCCCCGAAUCCCACCAGGAGUCGAAGCCGGUCUGCCGCCCCUAUCCUGGGUGUUCAUAGUCACCGUCUUGAUGGUCGUCGUCGUCUUCUCGGCGGGACGGCCAGACGAACGGCCAGUCAUCACAGCGCUGCCGCGCCGGGCGGCGCCUGUGACGGUCUUCUUUGGUACGCUGUUGCUGACGGGUGCUGUCAUCGCGCCAUCGUCCAUCUUCCCCAUCAUCCCCUGCAGCUCGGGCGCCAUGCUCUGUUCUGUGGCCGCCCGCAGACGCGCGCCGUCCUCCACUUGGUUCAGCACGGUGAGGAUCCGCACUAAUGUGCUCUCUCGGCGGUCGGGGGAGUCGCGCCGGGAAGCGUGAUCUGGCAUCCGAGGGCGCGCCGUCGACGAGGCCGUAGCGCCAUUCGUAGCGUCGCCGGAUGGGGACGAUGCUUUGCGGAUUAUCGAUGGCUUGCUAGAGAUCACGCGCUGCCGCCGAGUAGUCCUCCAGAAGUGGCAAGUGGAUGAAGACCUCAAAUCGGGUCCCUUGCUGCCAAGGCAGCUGCAGGGGCUCGGCCGAAACUGCAAAUGUGGAUGAUUGUGCUGCUGGAUUAUGAGUAAAAGCAAGCCAUACCUUCUUCGGGAUUUCGCUCGGAUCCACCGUCCAAGCCCACAACUCAAUAUGCCUGGAGUCCGCCGGCUGAAGAAGGUCAGUGACGAUAUGCUGGAGGGCGCACUUGUGCCCAAUGACGCGCUCGACGAUCUCCGGUGUCCAGGCGUGCGACAGGAUGUCGUCGAGGCAGAGGCGGACCCUGUAGAAGAUACGGAAGCCGAGAGCAUGUGUGAGGCUUCGCCAGGUGCGGAGGCAGAUGUCGAUGCCGUCGCCUGUGAAUCGUCCUCUCCGCCGUGCCUCCACCGCGUGUUCCGCCUGCUCGAACCGGAUGAGAUAAGGUUCAGGUUGAUGGAGCGUGACGGUGACGUCGCCUGGCCGCAGGUGGAGUUCCCUGGUGAGGAGUCUGGCGAUGUCCCUGUCGCCGGCGUCCGGUGGCAGAUGCAAUGCCCACGGGACUAGUGCACAGGCUUCCCAGUCCCGCACAUCGUGCUCAAGGUGGAAGGUAGUGGAGACGAACACCGUUUCAGCUUCUGGCCGCGUAUUUGGGUCUCCUAUGGCCAUUGUAGUUGUGGUGGUUCUUGAUUGAGGUGGAUAGGACCCGGCGGCGGGGGGGUGGCGAUGGGGGAAGUGGCGAUGUGUCGAAUGGCGGACGUUGUUGGGCGGCAGGCGGCGAGCAGGAGCAGCUUCGCGUGGCUGUGGAGAUGGCGGCAGUGUGCAAGGAUGUGUAGGUGGCGGCGGCGGGCAAGGAGACUUGUGAGUGUCGGGCCUCUGAUGAAGGUGUGGCCGUGGCGCCCUGCACUCGCGCUCCCUAUGCCCGAAGCGCCGGCACCGGAAGCAGCGGACGGGGUCACGGCAUGCCGAGGCGAGGUGAUUGGGGGCGAGGCACCGGAAGCAGCGGCCCUCAGUCGCCCGUUUGAAGGCGAGCAGCGCCCUGUUUGGUGGCCGCCUUGAAUUGUCGCUGUGGCUCCGGUCGUGUCCGCCGUCGCGUCGCUGCUCCUCGGGCCGCGCUUGCCGCCGCGUCCGUCGGCUUCGCACUGGUUGCCAGUCAUGGCUCGCCGGAUUGUGCUGAGGUAUGUCCAUUACUCCGCCGUACGGAGGUCCGGGGCGUGGCGCCGCUGACGUAGAGCCUUGAAUGCGCCGCGUAGUCGUCUUGUCGUCGGAGUUACUCCGUCCCCCAUGGGUAGGAGCGCGGUCUUCUCCGUGGUGGUGCAGAUAGGCUCGGCCGGUUGGAGUAUUGAAGCGUCUGGCUCUGACGACUUCCGCGUAAGACCGCGUCCCAUCCUUCACCCCGGGAGCUGAUUUGGUGCUGCUGGGUAGAAGAUCCAGCAGUGGGGGCUCCGGAUCCGGCGCGGUGGCCUGCAGAUCCGGUGAGCUCGGCACCCAAUCGGCCUCAAACGCCGACCGUCGGAGGAGCCGGGGGGGCGGCGGCGGGGAGCUGUUGAAGAACUGCUCCCAGGCUCGCUUGGAGGGUGGGGAUAAAGGGGAUGGGGGCUGUAGGGGCUGGGUGAGGUGCGGGUUCGCAGGGGCUUGGCGGCGGUGGGCGGUUGGCGCCGGCGGUGGUUGGCGGCGCAGCGGCGGGGGGGAGGAGCGGGGCUGGUGGGGAGCGGAACAUUUUUUCAAUACUUACGUGUGGAUAUAUGACGGCAAAUGGAGAUUGAAAAUCACAUCACGUACCGAUUAACUUGAUCAACUUGUAGGCUUGAGCAUGGUAUGUAUUCCUUCAUCAUCUGAGGUAAGUCCUGAUGACGACACGCUCGCGGAUGGAGGCGGACGCCGGGGGAAGCCUGGCCUCGUAGCUGCCGCGAUGCGAAGGCACGUCGUCCCACCACAGCUUGGUCCACCAGGCCCGCUCCCCACUCACCUUCACGGCCUUGUCUGGUUUCUGGUCGAGGCGCGGGAGGCGGCGCAAGCUCCAGCACCCACGGACGUGGAGCUCCUCCCACGCGGGCGCGGUCAGGAUGGGGUUGUCGACGUGGAGUUUCUCCAAAAGUGGCAGCUCCUGGAGGCGUAUCCUUCGGAGGCGAGGGAGCUCGUAAUAAUUACAAGGAUCAUUAAUGCCGUCGUCGUAGAAAAUUGCCUUGAGGUUGUAGCAGAAGCGGAUGUCCAGUGUCACAAGACUUGGCAGUGCAGAUGGACUUGAUAUUACAGCCUCCAAUCUCGGGCAGUACUCUAGGUGUAGGUGCUUCAGUGUAUCGAAACCAGGGGAGUCACCACGGUUGAAACGGGUUAGACUUUUCAGAUGGGAGACAAAUGCAUGCCUCACAGUUCUCACAUAGUCACUAAAGACUUCUUGCAUCUGAUGGCACCGUUGCAGCUUACAUUCCUCCAGCUCACUAUCCAAAUAACCCAGAUGAUCACCGAGACAGGAGAUGUGAGUGUCAUCUGACAUGCUAAUUGACUUUGUGACUCGUAGAAGAUAAUCUAGACCACGGGGAUACCGAUCCACGGCUGAGAUCUCCAGGUGACGCUCAGCCUCCCGAAAGGGAGGCACGUCAUCCAUUGACACCAUAAAGACUACUCCAUCUGUCAGAUAGUGAUGGUUUACAUCAGCAUAUGCUGUCAGUGCUACUUGAAGCCUGUCGGUUUUCACCAUGUCCUCUUCAUCAUGUAUCUCCCUAGUUGUGGCCUUGCAUGAUGUAACUCGAACAUAGAAAGAUUUCAAAAGGCUUCCACCUCUUACUAAAUCCCUGGUGCUCGAGUCGAAGCUAUAAAAGAAUCUGGAAUCACUUACGCACACCUGAGCAUCUUGUGGAUUGGAAUGAUUACCAGUUUUGUCUGAGCAUUGAUCCAAGCAAAACACACCUGGGAGUCUCUGUAGCUUAUGCCAAGGAAAUCGUUUGAGGAAUGGAACGCCCAUGAGAAGCAAUCGCCUAAGCUGGGGUAGAUUAGGAAUGUCCUCUGGGAGCUCUCUGAUAGCUGUAGCAGACAAAUCAAGCUCCUCCAAAGCAUCAACCUCCUUAAUGUCAACAUGCUCCAACAUUGUACAUCCACGCAAGGACAACCGCCUCAUAUGAGGUGCACCGAUGAAUGUGAAUGAUCUCAGGGUUGGGUGCCUCUCUAAAGUUACCUCUACUUCUGUCAUUGGCUCACAUCCUUCAAUAUGUAUAUUGAUCAAGCCACAUAAUUUGGAAACCAACCCUGGUACAAACAACAAUUUCUUGUUCUCGGUUAGCUUGAGUGAUUGGAGCUUCUUCAUUUCCUCAAACAUCUCCCUAGGAAAAGAUUUUAUUUGAGUCCUUGUGAGCUCGAGUGUUGUUAGACUAGACAAUGCAACAAUGGAGGGUGGCAUCUCCUCAAGGUUGGAGCAUUUGACAAGCAGGAGCUCUUUUAGAUUAGGCAUGUUAUGGAAGAAGUCGCCUUGGAAGUUGCUUAUAUUUGAAUAGGAGAGAUCGAAGUAGUAGAGCGAGCUGAGCUUUUUGUUGUUGUUGUUUUCACGGAGAGUAAUUUCUGUAUCUGGGAAGCUGAAUGGACUUCUGAGGUUAUAGCAGCCCCUAAGAGAAAGCAAUUGGAGUUUUUGGAGACAACAGAUUGAAGGAGGAAGUGAUUCUAGAGGAGUGUAGGAAAGAUCCAAAACAUGAAGGCAAGAAAGCUUGGCCAAGAAAUGAUUAGAUUGAAGCUUCAUGAACAACCUCGACUGCUGGGGGCAAUGCCUUAUAAUGAGUGUUGUUGGGCCGCUGGCUCCCUGCCUUAACCAUUCUCUGCUUACAUGCCAU